Molecule: long non-coding RNA, 60522 nt
Filed under: Malus domestica (apple)
Lineage: Eukaryota; Viridiplantae; Streptophyta; Magnoliopsida; Rosales; Rosaceae
Description: long non-coding RNA (MDOM_LNC007938)
Source: RNAcentral
UCAAUCAAUCUGAUCUCCUAGGUCUCCCAAUCAAUCUCCCAGGACUCCCAGGUCUCCCAGGACUCCCAGGCCUCCCAGGCCUCCCAGGACUUCCAAUAUCCCUUGCUGCUGAAAAAACUUCAUCUAAGUCCUCCAACUCCAAAACUUCAAAGAAUGGGCAACUAGGUGAUAAUAGAGAAGUAGCCCAUCCAGAUUCUCCACCAGCAGGUUCAGCACCAUGAUUCCCAACCUGCCACCUAUCCUGGUUUCUGUUGGGUUCCUAUCCUAUUGGGCGUAACCCGUUUAAGUAUAAUAAGCCCAUUUAGGUCUUCUGAGUUGUGGUUUCCUGAACUUCUAUGUAUAUGGUCUCUUCCUUCUCCUUGAGAACUAUGUGAAAUAUUAAGAGAACUAUGUGAAAUAUUGAAUAUUUAAGUUUUAUCUUCUUUUCCCAUUUUCUCUGUAAUUUUCCCUCUUUCUUCUCUAACGAGAAUGUGUCAUGCAUAGACAGCUAGUCAGCUACGAGUACGGUAAUAUAAUACGAUUCAAUUAUUAGUUAAAUACAAUGAUUAUCGUUGAAACUCAAAAUUUCAGGACAAGGGAGUCGCAUGGAUUCAGAUAUAAAAAUUAUAUAUAUAUAUAUAUAUAUAUAUAUAUAUAUAUAUAUAUAUAUAUAUAUAUAUAUAUAUAUAGGGAAUUGUUAUUGGCACUUCAAAAAUCUCAUUCUACACUCCAAAUUUUCUAUGUUUGGAAAGAAAAAAACAUUUGUGAGGUGUGUAGAAUUAGAUUUUUGGAGUGACAAUAACAAUUCCCUAUAUAUAUAUAAAUUAUUAUUGAAUAUUACCCAAGGAUGAAAUAUGUGAUGUUUAUUAACUAAUGAAAUGUGCUUGAAAACUUUGAGUUUUAAUGAUAAGGACAAAAUAAAGGGUAAAGUGAAUAGUACCAGGAUUGACUUUUUAAUGUAAAAAUGUAGUUUUUCGUUAAAAUGAACAGUACCAGGAACUUUUCGUUAAAGUUCCCUUAUUAAUAAGCAUUUUAGGAAUAUCUCUGACUAUGUUUAUUAACAAUUCCCUAUUAUUGAAUAUUAUUGAAUAUAACCUUUUUCAUCCUUGGGUAAUAUUCAAUAAUAAUUUAUAUAUAUAAUAUUAUAAUAAUUUAUAUAUAUAUAUAUAUAUAUAUAUAUAUAUAUAUAUAUAUAUAUAUAUAUAUAUAGGGAAUUGUUAUUGUCACUCCAAAAAUCUAAUUCAGGGACGUCGUCGUUCUGUAAAUUAUUAAACCAUUCAAAUAUGCGAUGUUUAUUAAUAAGCAUUUUAGGAAUAUCUCUGACUAUGUUUUUAGAUUAACAUGCGCUUAGCAACAGAAAAUUGUCAUGGAGAAGCGGUUGCCCAAACUUAAGGCUGCAAUUUUGAGUGCUCAGAAGUGCUUGGAAGAUUGCAACUAUGUUAGGGGAUUGGUGAGUGACCAUCAUACGCGGAGUUGUUCUGCAUUUUUUAGUUGUACAGUAGUUGUAUAGACAGUCCAUUUUUCUACGUUAGCAGUACAAUUUCUUUUUGUUUUCAUCUUGUUUUUCCUCUCUUUAAUUGUCUGAACUGCAAUACGUUUCUGCAGCUUGAUGAAUGGUGGGACUCCCACCCACCAUAACCGUUGCUCAUCCCUAGAUAGGAGCAACCAGCAACAAUUGUUGUUGACUGGGUCUGAGUCGAUGGAUUAAAUGUUGCUGCCUGGCAUGAUCAUGUGAAGCAGCUCCUUGAAUUUUAUGAUCAGGAGCACUUGUGAGUAUUAUUCGAGUACUCAGCAAACAAGAUUUUAUGGGGAUCUAACUGGUCUUCCUGUUGGCAGUCCCACAUUGAUGGGGGAAGUCAACAAGGGUGGCUAUAAAUAUGAUUACGCUACUCUAACUAAUACCAAGGUUUUUUUUGGUAAAACCCCACACUUGACGGAUUGGGCAGGUGAUAAAGUUGGGGACUGUAUCGGUCUUAUUAGAGUGGCCAGUUGGGGACUCUAUAGGUCUUGUUAGAGUGGUCCCUGGGUCCGUCGAUCUCUACGAAGCCCCUUGUUUCAUUCAUUCUCGCAUUGCUAAAAACACAUUUUCAUUCAUUCUCGCAUCGUUAAAAACACCUACAAAGGCUUGGUAGAAACUCAAGCUCGACUUUAUGCUUGGAAGGUGAAUUCAUUAUCUCUGGCUGGUCGCGCCACUUUUGUUCAGUCUAUGACCUCCGCUGUCCAGUAUAUGCUUUGCAGACAAUAUUACCAAUUACCAUUACAGAUAACCCCGAGUGUCAAAGAUUUUCCCAAGGCAAGAGAAGUUUGGCAAAAGUUGGAAAGUAUAACCAAUAGUCAGACCACAUUAAUUUUCAUGAUUGGCUUCAUUUUAAUUUCACCACUAAAUCACUCAUAUUGGGGGGUUUAGAGUAGAUGUUAGUAUUUUCUGUUGCUUGUUGGUUUAUUUGGUAUUGGCGAAAUACAUUUAUUUUCGAGCAAGAUUUUGCAAUGUUAGAUGAGCCUACCGUCGAUAUUUGUGCAUAUUUUCAUGAAUUGUUAGCCUUCUAAUACUCACAAAAUUGAUAAAUGCCGAAAGACUGAAUCUUUGCUCCACUGGGAAGCUCUUCAUUCAAAAUUGAUUUACACUUGAUGGAAAAUAAUGCUCCUUACAUAACUAACCGGCAGCCGUGCCGGAGGCAAUGUGUGUAUGGAAUCAUAUACUGAGGAUAUUGUCACUUCUAUGUUACGAUUUGAGGAGAGAAAGGCGGAGUAGGGAAGCCGGCCGAGAGGAACAGCUCCUGAUCUUAAGAAGGAUAUGUUGUAUCAUAAACUUAUAACUUGGUCCCUUAUUGAAUGAAAGGGCAGGCUUCUGCUUUGAAUAAUACCACUUCAGACUUCAGUCCAAUUAUGUCUUCCUGUUCUGAAAAUUGACAACUCCAUGUGAUAACAAAACAUCUCAUGUAUUAUUGUACGGUUGAAAAUUGCUGCUUUACACUAUACAUUUAACGUGAUUAGAAAUUCCAUGAAAAUUUACAAACAAUACCAGGGAUGUGUCAUAGGCUGAAAAGGAGUAAGGAUGUUUGUACAUAGGCUGAAAAGGAGUAGGGAUGUUUGUACGUUCCUUCCCCACAGCAAAACCACAUAGCAAAAGGAUUACAAACACAGCUAACAAAUCAAUAAACACAAAAUCAUCAUUAGGUCAACGAUCAUAUGAUUAUAUCAGAUGCACGUCAAUUAAAUAAUUCUCAUGUUCAACUAAGGUCACUAAAAGCCCCCUAUUUGGCCUAAUUAGAUAUGGUCUUCGUGGUGAUAGGAUAUUUGUAAUAUAGCUCAUGACUUAAAAAAAAAAAUUCGGAUUUAAACCCUUGUGGUGAUAGGGUAUUUAGAAGACAAUCCAUUUCUAUUGAGCCACAAUGAAGGGAGUGCAGAAAUUCACAGUUUUGUUUUUGGGAUUAACAAAGAAAUAACAGAAAUUUGGUUUUUGGGCUUAAAUCACAACGGACUUCACCACAAGAAUAUAAAUCUGAUUUUUUUUACCACAUGGGCUAUCUUCCGAAUACUCUAUCAUCACGAGGACUAUUUAUACAAUUAGGUCAAUGUUUUUUUAAGGUGAAUAUCACAUGCUAAAACGGAGAAGGAUUCUCUCAUCUUCUAAUCUCUCUCCCAUUCCCUCCUCUCCUACUUGAACAAUUAUGAUUAAGUUAUGUCAAUAUUUUAUAUUGAUAUUUUUAUAAAGAUAAUAAGACAAAAAACAAUGUGUUGAUGCACAAAAUCAGCGAGGACUUUGGUACAACAGAAAGUGUCAGGUUUGUGACAUUCGCUUGGUUGCUUCGAUCACUAGUGAAGAUAAGUACGUAAAUGAAUAGGGACAGGGAAGCAAACACAAGAUGUACGUGGUUCACCCAAAUCGACUACGUCCACGGAGUAGAGGAGUUCUCAUUAAUUGUGAAGGGUUUACACAAAUACAUAGGUUCAAGCUCUCAUUUUUUGAGUUCUAGUGAAUAGUUUAGUACAAAAUGACAUUAGAUAUUAUUGUGGGAGAAUGAUCCCUAUUUAUAGAAGAAAGUUUCUAGUUUUGUUCUAACAUUGACACGUGUCGUGUUGUGAUUGGCUUCUGAUGUUGACACGUGUCGCGCUGUGAUUGGCUUCUGAUGUCGACACGUGUUGCAUUGUGAUUGGCCUCCUGGUUGAAGGGAAGCUCUUCUGGGUCCUUGACGUAUAACGUUGACCGGUGCUCAGUAGUUUCGGGAUUGGUCAAGUAUGGUACAAACAGUGCUCCCCUAAGUUCCCGAGUGAGGGAAGCUCCUCGGUUGGGGACUUGCAAGAUCCAAGCCACUGAGUAAUCACGAAACUUCUAAGUACCGAAGUGUGGUAUCAUUUUCACGCGCCUUAUCUGUCUCAUAUGUAGAUGUGGCAUCUUCUUUGGAAGUACUUUUCCUUCAUCCAUGGGUGGUAUCUUUAACCGAUGAAGAUGCACAAGGUAAUGUAUCAAUUUCACUUGAAGCUUACUUAUAGUUUCGGGCUUGGUCAAGUGCGAUACAAACCCUAUAGUAGGAGUCCCCCAAGUCGCCGAGCUAGGAGAUCUGCCGAAAGAGGUGACAGACAAGGUAAGCAGUCAAACUUCCAAGCAAGCAACCCAGGAUCAGAGGUUCGACUUCGGCUUCCGGUUGAUUGUUCUCCUUCUCCUUGUCUCUCAUUCAGCUGCCGGGAUAAGGAGAGGCAAAUGGAGAAGAGAUGAUAUGAGAUACUUUUGCUUUUGAAGAAGUAACUUUCCACAGGCUUAUUCUUGAACUGUGCUGGAGGGUUUUCUGGUUCCCUUCAGAGUAUAAGGCCGACUCAAGAAUUUGAGGGUCAAAACAAGUCCAUCAAAUCUAGAGUACGUUCGACCUUGAUGAUAUGGGAUACUUUUGCUGUUGACGGAAUAGUGAAUGUGGUAUGGAAAAGUGUCGUGCUGUAGUGAUCUGUUUCAGCUCACCGUUAAACCUUCUGCUUUAAUCUUUUGCAUGGCAGAAGUGGUGUGCAACCUUUGCAUUUAAAUGGUCCUUCAGAACAUUCCUUCAUAGUGACUCAUCCACGCUUGGCAGCUUCAGUGUAAAGAGCCAAUAUCUGAUCAACUGUCAUGAGGUAUGUGCCGGUGGAAUUCAUGACCUUGACAGCAGUUGAGGAUGAGUUCUCGAGAGCAAUGCUAAGUAAGCAACCAGGCAAAGGUCUCAGGCAGUCAGUUCCAGAUUGGAGGUUUGAUUUCAGGUUCCGACUGACUGCUCUCUUUCUCUUGUCCUGCAGGUGUGGACAAGGACGAAGACAAGGACAGGGAGAAAGCAUAAUAUGAGAUACUCUUACUUUCGACCCUGAUGAUAUGAGAUACUCUUGUUCUUGGUGUGGCUUAUUUGCUGAGGUAUUAUCGGGGGGAAAUAAAGCUGAGUAUUUCGAGAGGUUAUGUUGAGGGUGCAUUCUCGAAUGUGAGAAAGGGUUGAGCAUUUUUGUAGGUUUGCCUGUCCGUUGAGGAUGGAGGUCGAUGUAUAUAGGGAUUUCCCAAUAACAAGUAGUAAUGCUAUUCCUUUAUCCUUCUUGGUCACAACAAUGUAGUGGGAGCUGCCAGCUUCACGUGUUUUAACUUUGUCAGAGCACUUUGAAAAAUUGGUAUGUGGUAUCUGGAAAGCUGAUGUUGCGUGUGAAGAUUACAGACAAGCUUUAUCUAAGGAAAUCUGGCUCUCGAAGUUCUGAGAGCUGUGCCUCUUCGGUUUUCGAACAAGCAAUCCCGUCGGGGAUCUAGCUCUCGAGAUUCGGAAAGCGGUGCAGCUUCGGUUUUUGAGAAAGUAAUUAUGUUAGGAGUCUUUUCUCGAAGGUGAGUAAAGGUUGGACGUUCUUGCCAGCCUGUCUUGCCACAGAACACGGAGGUCGACACACAUAGGGGCUUUCCAGUUGUCAAGCAGUGGUGCUGUUCCUUUACCCUUGUGGGUAAUAGUAGGGUAGCUGGAACUUCUAAAUUCUCGUGCCUAAACUUUGUCAGAGAUCUUUGGCAAAGUUAUAUGUGGUACCCGAGGAGUUGAUGGUGCGUGUGGAGAGUGGUGAUUGAACAGUAAGAUUCACGUGCUUUUUAUUUCACCAGAAAUCUUCGACAGAUUGCCCAUAAUUUCCGCAAAGCUGAGUGUGCAUGUGACAGGUGCUGACGAGGCUGAAAAAGCAGGUGCUUCUUCGAUUUCUGAGAUCGGCCCUCGUGGUCUCUGAGCAACUCAGCUUUCGAGAAAGCAAACGCCUCUUCGAUUUCUGAAGCUCUGUCAAGUGUAGAUUUUUAUAGAGGUUGGCAUUAAGUUCCACAUCACACUUGAAUCUCCACCAGUAGAAGCUCCCUUCUUGCACUUCUAAGAUCUUGAUUUGUCUGACCUCUUCCCUCUUCAACACCUUUGAAAAUGUCUAGCUCCUCUGACCGUCGUUUUGACUUGAACCUUGGAGAAGAGACAGCCACGCCUUCUCCAGACAACAUAUGGCGCCCAUCCUUCAUAUCCCCUACUGGUCCUCUUACCGUUGGGGAUUCUGUGAUGAAGAAUGAUAUGACCGCUGCAGUGGUGGCCAAGAACCUUUUCACUCCCAAAGAUAACAUACUACUUUCCAAACGGUCUGAUGAGUUGGCUGUUAAGGAUUCUUUGGCUCUUAGUGUUCAGUGUGCAGGUUCUGUGUCUAAUAUGGCCCAACGCCUAUUUGCUAGAACCCGCCAAGUUGAAUCAUUGGCUGCUGAAGUGAUGAGUUUCAAACAGGAGAUUAGAGGGCUCAAGCAUGAGAAUAAACAGUUGCACCAGCUUGCACAUGACUAUGCUACAAACAUGAAGAGGAAGCUUGACCAGAUGAAGGAAUCUGAUGGUCAGGUUUUACUUGAUCAUCAGCGGUUUGUGGGUUUGUUCUAAAGGCAUUUAUUACCGUCGUCUUCUGAGGCUGUACUGCGUAAUGAAGCUCCAAAUGAUCAACCUCCGAUGCCUCCUCCUUCUGGGGUUCUGUCCAGUACUGAGGCUCCGGAUAACCACCCUUCGGUGCUUUCUCUUUCUGGGGCUCUACCGACUGCUGAGACUUCCCCUGAGCAACCUUUGUGAAGGCUCCCUCUUGUUUGUUUAUUUUGAUUCAUGUAUAUGUACAUAUUUGUAACUUAUCGGAAAUAUCAAUAAACAAGAUUAUCUUCAUUUCAACGUAUUGUGUUAAAUACACCAAGGCAUUCUUCACUAAGUUCUUUGAAUUUUUCCUUUUGUUGAAGCUUGUAUGUUGAAACUUUGUGAGUGAAGCAUGUAGGUUGAGGUAGUGCUCCCUUAAUUUCCCGAGUGAGGAAAACUUCUCGUUUGGAGACUUGAAAAAUCCAAGUCACUGAGUGGUCGUGAGACUUCCGAGUAUCAAGGUGCAGUAGCAUAUGGUAGGAGUCCCCCAAGUCUCUGGUCGAGGGAGUUGACAAAUGAGGCAUUUCCUUUCGAAGUGGUAGCCCAAAACUCCUUCUUCAUAUAUAUUUGUUAUGAAAGUUGUUAGGCCCAAAGAAGAGGAGGCCUAGGCAAAUUUUUUUUUUUUUGAAUUUUCAAAUUUCCGGAUUUUUGAAUUUUCGAAUUUCCGAAAAAUAAAAAAUAAAAAUAAUAUAUAUAUAUUUAAAAGCUUUGUAGGUGAAGCUUUGGUGUUGAAGAUUUGUAGGUGAAGCUUUGAGGUUGAAGCUUUGUUGGGCACCAUGAAUUGAUUUUGCUUCACACUAUCUUGAUGAAGAGUGUGUGAAGCUUUUAUAUGUUUUGGUGUUGAAAUUUUGUAUUGUAGGUGAAACUUUGGGGUUGAAGCUUGAUAGGUGAAGCUUUGGUGUUGAAGCUUUAUAGGUGAAGCUUUGGUGUUGAAAGCUUUAUAGGUGAAAGCUUUGGUGUUGAAGCUUUAUGAAGCUUUAUGUGAAGCUUUGGUGUUGAAGCUUUAUAGGUGAAGCUUUUGUUGGCACCAUAAAUUAAUUUUGCUUCACACUAUCUUGAUGAAGAUAGUGCGAAGUUUUGGAGAUUGAUAUUUGUCCUCCAUUGAUGAAGCUUUUGUUGGCACCAUAAAUUGAUCUUGCUUCACACUAUCUUGAUGAAGAUAGUGCGAAGCUUUUGAGAUUGAUAUUUGUCCUCCAUUGAUGAAGCUUUUGUUGGCACCAUAAAUUGAUUUUGCUUCACAGUAUCUUGAUGAAGAUAGUGCAAAGCUUUUGAGAUUGAUAUUUGUCCUCCAUUGAUGAAGCUUUUGUUGGCACCAUAAAUUGAUCUUGCUUCACACUAUCUUGAUGAAGAUAGUGCGAAGUUUUGGAGAUUGAUAUUUGUCCUCCAUUGAUGAAGCUUUUGUUGGCACCAUAAAUUGAUCUUGCUUCACACUAUCUUGAUGAAGAUAGUGCGAAGCUUUUGAGAUUGAUAUUUGUCCUCCAUUGAUGAAGCUUUUGUUGGCACCAUAAAUUGAUUUUGCUUCACACUAUCUUGAUGAAGAUAGUGCAAAGCUUUUGAGAUUGAUAUUUGUCCUCCAUUGAUGAAGCUUUUGUUGGCACCAUAAAUUGAUUUUGCUUCACACUAUCUUGAUGAAGAUAGUACGAAGCUUUUGAGGAUUGUAGUUGUGUUCCAUUGUUGAAGCUUUGUUUUUCCUUUUUUUUUUUUUUUUUUUUUUUUUUUUUUGGGAAAACUAGAAAUUUGAAAAUGUGGGAGAGACAACAUAUACAAAUUUUGCUUCCAUACUGUUAAGCGAGAGAUUGUGAUGCAAGCCACAUCUUGUAGUAGUCGAAGGUUUGGAUGAACCAUAUAAAUUGAAUUUGCUUCGAACAGUCUUGAUCAAGAGCGUGUGAAGCUUUCUAUGAGUUGUAGUGUUUGCAUUGUUACAGAGGAGAAAUGUCUGAAGCAGAUGCAAGAGGGCUGAAGAGCUUGAUCUUCGUAUACCAUGCACUGAAGCCAUUGUUGGCUUGCAAUAAGACUUUGUUGGUGACUAUAGCUCUUGUUAGGCAUAAGUGCUCCCUUAGUUGAGUUGUAAAGCUUGAUGGUUUUUGAUUAUUUGUGAAUGCUAGGAGUUCACAUGUACAAGUUGUACCACUCGUCUUCUGGUUAGUGGAAUGAAGGGUGGGUUGCUUUCAUCACUUGGUUGGUGGUACGAAUGUGAAUUCCUUAAUCACCUUUCAUCACAUUUCAUCACCUGGUUGGUGACAUGAAGGAGAGUACGCGUUGUACAUUUCAUCACCUGGUUGGUGGCAUGAAGAUGAGUUCCUUCUUCACCUGAUUGGUGAUAAGGGUGGCAAGUUUCCAAAUAAUAUUAGAGUACGGGUUGUACAUUUCAUCACCUAGUUGGUGGUACGAAGGUGAGUUCCUUCAUCACCUAGUUGGUGAGAAUAAGGGCAAGGUGUCGAGGCACAUUGUGGCAAAUGUCGAAUGACACAAAGUGUGUUGAACCCUUUCGAAGCACAGUUGGCUUAUGUAUGGAUGUGUUGGAAUGUAUGAUGUUUAUGCAUGAAUGUGUUGGAAUGUAUGAUGUUUAUGUAUGAAUGUAUUGGAAUGUAUGAUGUUUAUGUAUGAAUGUGUUGGAAUGUAUGAUGUUUAUCCUUUGUAUAGUCUUGUUGACACAUACUUAGAUUUUGUUUUGUAUUAGAAACAUUUGCGUUGAAGCUUCAACACUUGAGUGUUUCAUUGCUCAGAAUGUAAAAGAGUUUAGGGCCGAGUUGGCUAAAUCACCUUUUUAUUGAAUUCAUACCAAAUGGUUUUGUUACAUAGGAUGCCGAACGGCUGUAGCUUAACACUUGUACAAUGUGAGUCUAUUUGUAAUAGUACUUCAAGUCGUCAGCAUUCCAUGGAUGGCCAAAAGUCUUGCUGUCGGAGCUUCUGAGCUUGUAGGAGCCAGGGCGGCUGAUGCUGACGACCUCGAACGGUCCAUCCCAGUUAGGACUGAGUGUUCCUUCAUUCGGGACUCUAUCACAGAGUAAUCUUUUCUUCAGUACCCAGUCUCCACUUUGAAUGAGCGAGGUUUGACCCUUGAGUCGUAGUAGUUGGAGAUGCGCUGCUUGUAGGCGACAUUCCUCAGAUGAGCCUGAUUUCUAUGUUCCUCGACUAGAUCCAGGUUGAGGGUGAGUUGUUUGUCGUUUUCACUCUGCAUGUAGUUCUGGAUUCGGUAUGUUGCUUGCUCAAGCUCAACCGGGACAACUGCUUCUGUACCAAAAGCAAGUGAGAAUGGAGUUUCUCCUGUGGAAGUCCGAUAUGAAGUGCGGUAUGACCAAAGAACUUGGGGUACGAAUUCUGGCCAACAACCUUUAGCUUUGUCCAAGCUAGUUUUCAGAGUGCGCUUGAUUAUUUUGUUAACGGCCUCGACUUGUCUAUUAGACUGGGGAUGGGCUGGAGAGGCAAAACAUAAGUUGAUGUUAAACUUAGAGCAGAACAUCCUGAAGUUCUUGUUAUCGAAUUGUCACCCAUUGUCCGUGACUAUCGCAUUGGGAAUGCCGAAUCUGCAAAGGAUGUUCUUCCAUACGAAGUCUUCUAUUUUUGCCUCAGUAAUGGUUGCCAAGGGUUCUACUUCAGUCCACUUUGUGAAGUAGCCAACUGCAACGAUUGCAUAGCGGACCUUGCCCUUCCCUGCAGGCAUUGGGCCGAUCAAAUCAAGUCCUCAUUGGGCGAAGGGCCAAGGGCUGAUCAUAGGAGUGAGCGGCUCGGGAGGGGAGUGAGGGAUAGUUGCGUAGCGUUGACACUUAUCACAUGAGCGAGAUAUUCUGAUGGCAUCUUGGUGGAGUGUUGGCCAAUAGUAUCAUUGGCGAAAAGUCUUGUGUGCUAGGGAUCGAGACCCAGCAUGAUCUCCGCAGACUCCUUCAUGUAUUUCCCGAAGGACAAUUUCCGCCUCCGCAGGUGUAAGGCAUCUUAGGUAAGGCAGGGUAAAACCUCGCUUGUAGAGUUGGUCAUUAAUGAUCAGGUAGCGAGCAGACUUGUAUCGAAUCUGCUUAGCUUGGACUUUGUCAUUUGGGAGGGUGCCAUGGGCAAGGAAUUUAUAAAUUGGGGUGAUCCAACUAUCUCCUUGUUGUAAAUUGCACACUUCUGCGACCAUGGUGCUUGGUGCUGCCAACAAUUCGACAUGAAUUUUUCUCCCAAUCUUGUCUUCCACUGCCGAGGCGAGGCGGGCCAAAGCGUCUGCAUGACUAUUUGCCGCUCGAGGAACUUGGGUGAUCUGGUAGUGGAAGUGCUUGAGCAAAAGUCGUGUUUGCGCAAGAUAUGUUGCCAUGGAGCUAUCCUUAGCAUCAAAGUUGUUCGUGACUUGGUUGACCACUGAUUGAAAGUCACUGAAGAUAUCAAUUUGUUUAACUCCAAGAUGCUUGGCCAAACGUAAGCCUGCUAGAAGGGCUUCGUAUUCGGCCUCGUUGUUCGAUGCCUUGAAUUUGAAACGAAGAGCGUAUUCUAUCGCCACUUUGUCAGGGGUAGUGAGGACUAAUCCUGCUCCGCAGCCCUGUUGGUUGGAUGAGCUAUCAACAUACAGACUCCAUGCUGGGGUUGUUGAUUUUGUCUUCUGAGCUUCCGAUGGUAAUGAAGCUAUUGCUUCAGGUGUAGAAGCUAUUGCUUCAGGUGUAGAAGCAAUGUCAACAGGAUAUGUGAAGUCGGCGAUGAAAUCUGCUACUGCUUGACCCUUUUCGGCUGGUUUUGGUUGGUAGGAGAUGUCAAACUCACCCAAUGCUAUUGCCCAUUUGAUCAUUCGCCCAUACGUGUCAGGACUCUAGAGUACCUGUCGAAGAGGGUGAUUGGUAAGCACGAUGAUGGCGUGUGCUUGGAAAUAAGGGCGAAGUUUUCCAGCAGACAUGACCAAUGCUAGAGCUAAUUUCUCAAUGUUGGAAUAUCGUGUCUCCGCAUCUUGUAGGGCCUUGCUAGCAUAGUAGACGGGCCGUUCGACACCACUGUCCUUUCGGAUAAGAACAGAACUGACUGCUGAAGCCGAGACCGAUAGAUAGAUAAUGAGAGUGUCACCAACUUCUGGUUUGGAGAGCAGAGGGGCUUUACUCAUGUACUCUUUGAGGUUCCUGAAUGCCUUGGCACAUUCCUCCGUCCAUGUAAUGUACUUCUUAUUUCCCUUGAGUGCUUUGAAGAAAGGAGCACAUCUGUCUGUGGCCUUAGAGAUGAAUCUGGUUAAGGCUGCCACAUUGCCAGUAAGGCUUUGGAUGUCUUUUGAAGUUACUGGCUCUUUCAUGUCGAGGAUUGCUUUGAUCUUUUCGGGGUUAGCUUCAAUGCCUCGUUGGCUAAUCAUGAAGCCUAAGAAUUUGCCAGAUCCCACGCCGAAGGCACAUUUGUUGGGGUUCAACCUCAUUCGAUACCUCUUUAGAAUGGUGAAAGUUUCAGAUAGGUUGGUGAUGUGUUGGUCAGCAUGUUUGCUUUUGACUAGCAUAUCAUCAACGUAAACUUCCAUGCUCUUCCCAAUCUAUUCGGCAAACAUUGAAUUGACCAGUCUCUGAUAAGUUGCUCCUGCAUUCUUUAGGCCGAAAGGCAUGACUUUGUAGCAAUAUAGUCCCUUGUCAGUAGUGAAGGCUGUGUUCUUGGUCUGAGGGGUUCAUGAGGAUUUGGUUGUAUCCUGAAUAAGCGUCCAUGAAGCUCAAGAGCUCACACCCUGCCGUAAAGUUUAUAAGUCUAUCAAUGAGAGGAAGGGGGAAACUAUCAUUCGGGCAUCCUUUGUUUAGGUCGGUGUAGUCGACACACAUUAUCCACAAGACCUUUUGAAGCAGAAGACUUUCUUUGGUCAGAUUUUUCUUAACAAGGACAACAUUUACUACCCAUGUUGGGUAAUUGACUUCACGGACGAAGCCUAUGUCCUUGAGUUUUUCAACUUCUGCUUUCAUCGCCUCGUAUCGUUCAACAUCAUAAGAUCUUCGCUUCUGUUUUACUGGUUUGGUCUUGGGAUCAAUACUCAAGUGGUGACAGAUGAUAUCGGGAGAGAUGCCCGGCAUAUCUUUAUAUGACCAAGCGAAGACCUCGGCGUUCUCUUGCAAAAAGGAGAUCAGCGACAACCGAAGGGGUGGUGACAAAGUGGUGCCAAUCUUCACCAUGCGAUCUGGAUGGUCUUUGGAGAUAGAGACAUUCUCUAACUCUUCAGCGGGUUGUGCUUGCUGGGUGAAUGAGUCAUCUCGAGGGUCGUCGGGUUGACUGUUGCCAUCAUGAAGAUCCGAGUUGGCUUCAUCUGGACUGGUCUUUACUACCUGGUUAUGUAUAGAGAGGGUCUCCUUGAGGACAUGCAGGUGUUGUUGCUUAACUGAAGUGUUGUAACAUGAUCGAGCACUAAGUUGAUCUCCCAUGAUGUAUCCAUUGCCGAAAGGGGUUGGAAACUUCAUCAACAACAUAUGUGUGGAUACCAUGGCCUUGAGAUCAUUGAUGCCUGUGCGCCCAAAGAUGACAUUAUAUGCCGUCGGGCAAUUGACCACUAGGAAGUUAGUGGUAAUAGUAGCUGUGUAGGGGCCUGUACCAAUGGUGAGGGGUAAGUGUAUACUCCCUAAAGGUUGCACGAUAUCGCCAGAGAAGCUUAUCAGAGGAGAAAUCGAGCGAUCGAGCAAGUGUUCAGCUACAUUAAGUGCCUUGAAAGCUUCAGCAAACAUGAUAUUGACUGAAGCACCUGUGUCUAUCAGGAUUCGUUUCACAUCAAAAUUUGCUAUGUGAGCCUCCACGAUCAGCGGGUCGUUGUGAGGGUAGAUGAUACCUCUUUCUUCCUCAGGGUAGAAACAUAUUGGAUCCCAGUUAGGUUUUUGAUACUUGCCUCCCCUGAUGUCUUCCACGUGAAACACUUGAUGGCCAUGUCUCAAAGUUCGUUCACUGUUUUUCAUGGCCCUAUUGGAAGAUUCAGACAUGGGUGUGCCGCCGCUUAUGGAGUAUAUCACAUUCACCUGGCGUUGGUUACGGUUAUCCCUUGGAGGAUGAAGGAGGAACUGAUCAAUUUUUCCUUCACGUGCCAAAGCUUCGAUAUGAUCAUGGAGGAUGAUGCAUUUCUCGCCGUCAUGGCCAUUAUACGUGGUAGCAGCAAAACACGCUCGUGUUCUUCGUGGACUUGUAAUUUGGCUGUCUUGGCUUUGGCUUUGGUAUCAGGUAAGCUAUACUGGGGUAGAUGGCCGCGCAUGUAGCGUUCAAAGGUGUGUAUGUCUCAUACCUCGGGGUAUGGCCUGUCUUGACACGCGAUUGGCCCACUGCGUUGACUGCAUGGGGAUGGGUGUUAUUGUGACGAUAUACUGAGUUAUCGUGAUAGUGCCCCUUAUUCUUUUUAUUAAAAUGAGAUUGGUGAGGAUGGAAAUCUUUCCUUUUGCCCUGGGAUUGAUAUGUCUGCUGACUUGGCGAAGCAUUAAAUGAGGCCGGGGGGUGUGCUGCUACCGUUUGGAAGGUUGAGGUCUUUUCAUUCGGUUGGAUCUGGCCUCCACUCCUACUUGCUGAUAAGGGGUGACUGUAGGGGGUUUCCCUUGAUAUGUCCUUGCCUCGGCAGAGGCAUGGUUGUAAGCUUGUGCCAUCACUUCAGAGUAAGUCUUCCAAGUGUUGGCAUUGAUCAUGUACUUGAAGAAACAGUCACGUAAGCCUGCCGUGAAGGCCUUGAGGGCGGUCUUGUCAUCUGCCUCAGCGCAGCGGGAAUACUCAUGGCUGAAGCGACCAGCAUACUUUCGUAAUGACUCGUCCGGCUUCUGGUGAAUAGUGUACAAGUCAUCUGCGGAAUGCAAGCGAUCGGUCUAGAAGAUGUGUUGAGAGACAAACAACUUCCUCAACUCUUCAAAUGAGUCUACCGUCUCGGGUAGAAGACGACAAUACAGUUUAAAGCUCCGCCAGAAAGGGUGGAGGGGAAGAGAAGGCACCGUUCUUCAUCGGUGUGUCUCCGGUAUACCAUGGUGGACUCAAAGAGGUUAAUGUGUUCAAUCGGGUCUUCCCUUCCAGUAUAGAGUUGUAAGUCAAGCUUCUGCUUUGUCUUCGCUUGGAGGGGGGUGUUGAGGAUCCUUCUUGUGAGGGGGCCAGGCCUGGGUUGGUUCCAGUCAGGUAUCUCGGCUUGACGUUCAGCCUUCAACUUGUUUACUUCCUCCAGGAGCUGUAGGACGAGGGGGUCCUGAGUGGAGUCGUGCAUCACUGGAGUUUUCUUCCGUAAGUCCCCAUCGCCUCUUGGAAGUAGGAAAGUUUGAUCAAGAUAGCAUGAUUUUUCCUUGGACUCGUCACACUGACUCCUAGAGUGAGUAUGUCGGAACAUUUCCGAGUCCCCUGUACCUUCAUGUUCUUCUGGGACUUGUUGCCCAUUCCCUAGAUUAACUGCUGGCCUGGGUCGUGGGAAAGGACCGAGUCUUUCAGAAACUCUUGGGUCAUUGAUCUUCGAGCUUAUGUGGAUGGGAUUCUCUCGACGUUGCUUUAGGAAGUCUCGACAAUCGCGAUAGACAGCUUUUGAUCCUUCCACUCCUUCUGUGAGGAGGUGCUUUCCUCUACUCUUUCUGCUUCGGGUUGAAGCAGCUGGGUUGAGAGAAGUCUCAUGUUGAUUAUCACAUUGAUGUGUAGCUCGAUCCCUAUCAGGGAUGUCCGUGUUGGAUAUUGGUGACCCUCCGUGUUGGGGGGCAUUCAGAUGAUUGUUGACCUCAGCAGGGGCGACGAGCUUGUGUGCUUGAGCAUGCCUAGCCUCGUGAAGCAUCUCGAAAAGUUUUUCAUACUGCUCCUGGAGGACCUCGUUCCUCAUCACUAUCUUGUUGUUCUGAGCUUCUAACUCAUCGACUUUAGCUUGAAGAGUAACUCUAUUUCCUUCCUGCUUUCGUUGCUUCAUACUAGGUCCAAUGGGGGUGUCAUUCUGUGUGCUAUGGCUUCUUUCGCUCCCCAUGUUGGAGAGAGAUGUUUGGCCAAAAGAAAGUGUACGGGCGGUGGAAACCAGCUUAACAAAGCUGAAGAGAGUGGGAGUAAGUGUCUUUCCCACAGACGGCGCCAAAUGUUGAUGCACAAAAUCAGCGAGGACUUUGGUACAACAGAAAGUGUCAGGUUUGUGACCUUCGCUUGGUUGCUUCGAUCACUAGUGAAGAUAAGUACGUAAAUGAAUAGGGACAGGGAAGCAAACACAAGAUGUACGUGGUUCACCCAGAUUGGCUACGUCCACGGAGUAGAGGAGUUCUCAUUAAUUGUGAAGGGUUUACACAAAUACAUAGGUUCAAGCUCUCAUUUUUUGAGUUCUAGUGAAUAGUUUAGUACAAAAUGACAUUAGAGAUUAUUGUGGGAGAAUGAUCCCUAUUUAUAGAAGAAAGUUUCUAGUUUUGUUCUAACAUUGACACGUGUCGUGUUGUGAUUGGCUUCUGAUGUUGACACGUGUCGCGCUGUGAUUGGCUUCUGAUGUCGACACAUGUCGCAUUGUGAUUGGCCUCCUGGUUGAAGGGAAGCUCUUCUGGGUCCUUGACGUAUAACGUUGACCGGUGGUAGAUGGCCGCGCAUGUUGAUGUGGCAUCUUCUUUGGAAGUACUUUUCCUUCAUCCAUGGGUGGUAUCUUUAACCGAUGAAGAUGCACAAGGUAAUGUAUCAAUUUCACUUGAAGCUUACUUAGAAGUUUCGUGAUUACUCAGUGGCUUGGAUCUUGCAAGUCCCCAACCGAGGAGCUUCCCUCACUCGGGAACUUAGGGGAGCACUGUUUGUACCAUACUUGACCAAUCCCGAAAACUACUGAGCACCGGUCAACGUUAUACGUCAAGGACCCAGAAGAGCUUCCCUUCAACCAGGAGACCAAUCACAAUGCGACACGUGUCGACAUCAGAAGCCAAUCACAGCGCGACACGUGUCAACAUCAGAAGCCAAUCACAACACGACACGUGUCAAUGUUAGAACAAAACUAGAAACUUUCUUCUAUAAAUAGGGAUCAUUCUCCCACAAUAAUCUCUAAUGUCAUUUUGUACUAAACUAUUCACUAGAACUCAAAAAAUGAGAGCUUGAACCUAUGUAUUUGUGUAAACCCUUCACAAUUAAUGAGAACUCCUCUACUCCGUGGACGUAGCCGAUCUGAGUGAACCACGUACAUCUUGUGUUUGCUUCCCUGUCCCUAUUCAUUUACGUACUUAUCUUCACUAGUGAUCGAAGCAACCAAGCGAAGGUCACAAACCUGACACUUUAUGUUGUACCAAAGUCCUCGCUGAUUUUGUGCAUCAACACAAUGUAUGAGAGAAGGAAAUGAAAGAUGAUGUGAAUAAGAGGGGAGAAAAUUCUACUCAUGCUAAAAACAAAAAAUAAUGAUCGACUCUGUAGAUAUUGGCCAAACCAAACAUUAGAUGUGAAAAAUUAGCACUUUGCCGAAUAAUAUUCCGAGUGAGCAAAAUAGAGAAAAAUAUAACAAUGGCACACAGAAAAAAUAUAAAAGUUGAGGAGCCGGGUGAUAUAAUAUUAGACAUUGCAAUUGUAGGCUCGGACGACUCAAGGAGAAAAAGGUUGCUUGCACCACUAUAGGAAAAUUACAAAUCAACAAUGCAGAGGUAACGUGCAUGGUCUUCUCUUCUGCCAUGAAAAAUUCAUGUUGCUUUCAUAUAAUUAACUAAUUAACUAGUUAUUAGUGUUAAUUAUUCUCUAACAUUUCCUUCCUCCAUUGUUUUCUUCUUCUUCAGAUCAAAGUUUCAAUAGUUUUUUUUUAUUUUUUAAAUUCCUUUUACUUUAACAAUAUUAGCGAUUCCAAUUCUACUAGCUAGUUUUAGGUUGUAUUUUAAUUGGCUCGUGUGCUUCUGUUGCAGGACGUGUUUGGGGAAAAAGGAAGGAUACUUGAACAGGCAGGAGCUGUAGCAAAGGUAGCCUCUAUGAAAAAACAUAAUGAACUCUUUGUAACGAAACAACUUCGUUUGACUCGUUUCAUUUAAAUUUUUUGUUUUUCUCAGGUGCAAAGCGACGUGGUUUUGUUAAAAAAAAAAAAAAAACUAAAACGGAGCAACGCCCCACUGCAGAAAACCAAAAUGCAGCACCGCAGCACCAGAGCAGAGGGGUGGAAACCUGGAUUUUGGGAACGAACUCCGGCGACCGAAGGUGCGAACACACCUCCUUGAACCUCUGUGGCUUCGCCAAUGAAGGUCUCGAUAUUAUUUAUGAGGAGUUCAUGAUAAUUACUUUAAAGUGUUAAUAACAAUCCUCUUUCUUAUUCUUAUGCUAGUAGGUCUGGUACUUCCUACAAUCUUAAAAUAUGCAUAAAUUCACUCAUAUAGAAUGGGAAAAUGCCAUACGUUACCAUUUGGAAAUUGGCGAGACAUGAAAAAGUCCUUGAACCUCGCUCCCCCCCGCAAGGCAGGCUUAAACUCGCCCGUGAUGAGAAGACAUGUCUUUUGUGAAUGACAGGAAAUAGGACAAAACCAUCCCUUCUCUUUUUUGUUAGUAAAAGCAUCCCAUGCUUUCUAUCUCUUCAUUCCACUGACUAUUUCGAACACAAAACAUCAAUACAAGUAUUAGUAAAAUGAAAACUUCUUUCUUUUAUUCAAUAAUUAUUAUGGGUUGUGUUUAUUGAUCAACCUGUAAGUAGAUAAAACACUAAUAAUACAAUUAGUUAGGUAAAAAAAAUCAGUUUUUUUUUCAAGUUUCUCAACUAACCGGGACCUAAGUAUUCCCUUGGCGUUCUUACACCAACAAAGAAACAACAACGAAACACACAGGAACACAAAAAUUGGGGACCUCUUUUUAUCUACUUGCCCACCAUCACAAAUAUUACCUUUUUUUUCUUGUAUGGUUUGGUGGUAGGGAACGAAACCUAGCUACAUUCACUUCUUCUGAUUUGCAGUUGACUCUGGUUUUUACAUGAGUAUAUACUGAAGCUCGAUGGACCCCAGGCUAUAUAAUAUUCGAAAAUAGUCAUUCCUUAUUUGUCCGUCAAUCACAAUAUAUAUAAUCAAUUUGAUGAGUAAUUUUGCGUACAUGUAAAGUGUACGUACAAUCCUACAGAGAAUAUUUACAUUAGUUAUAAGGCCUCAGCAUUUGAUAUAACUAAAAGGCAACCUGUAUCAACUCAUUCUUCGAGUCAAGAAUAUCUGAGCUUCUUAGAGGGGGAAUAUAGGCUCUAAAACCAUGUCUUGGUUUUUUACAGUUCUCUUUCUUGUUACUGCUCUUACAUUUCAUACUCCUUCAGAGGCUAGCCAUGAGAAGAACGAUCCUUCUGCAGUUGUUGUAGGCACUGUCUACUGUGACACAUGUUUCCAAGAGGAUUUCUCACAUACCAGCCAUUUCAUUUCAGGUAAAUUCAUCUCAAAAUUUCAACAAGUUCUUCAUCAAAUUUAUUUUUAUAUUGUAGUCUGACUAUAAAAUAGACGUCCGUUCAAUGAUUUCCGUACACCUUCUCCUCCAUACACUCAUGUUUAUUUUGUAAUCUUUAAAUUCAAAUGAAUCAAAGAAAAUCAAAAGAAAGGAAUAAAAAGGGUACAAAAUGAAAAAAAAGAAAGUAAAAUCCAAGAAAAUGACUGAAAACCUAUAUGUAAGUAUUUCCUAUAUAUGAGUCAACUAUACAACUACGAAAAGUAUAUAACAAAUCAAUUUCAAAAAAAUCUCGCCUAACUCCUUGGCGGUAAGACUCUGCAUUCAAUCACGAUUUCUUUCCAACAGACAACGAGUGGUAGGGAUAUUAUUUCUCUUGAAGAAAAGUUGGAGGAUAUGUCAUUUGUAUGUGUUGAUAUCAUUGUCGCCAAGUAUGCAUGUCAUCAGUAACUUUAAAUGAUUUAUCCCCAUACAAAGUAUAAUAGUUGAUCUAAAUGAUUUAUCCCCAUACAAAGUAUAAUAGUUGGUCUAAACCCUAAUUCCAUAAAGGACCAUACUGUUUAAAUGAAAUAAUUGCUCGGUUCCAUUUUACCCCUACAUUUUCUGCUUUUGUUUCGUUGCAAGAGUUUAACUUGUUAUUUGGAAUAUAUUGUUCACAGAAAGCACUUGUUCAGCAAUUUUUGGCUACUGAAGAUGCACUGAACAAAGCUGCAGAAGCGAGGGAUCUAUGUCAAAAACUUAUAAAACGCUUGCAUGGCAAUAGUGAUGUAAUUUCUUCAGGAACAUCACAAAAUGUGGGCAGUCUUAGGCAACUUGAGGUAAAUCUUCCUUGCAUAUUAAAAGUAUUAACUACCAAUAGUUUGGGUGGAAAUAGCACCAUGGGUGACAGGUUUGAUUAGUUUCAGUCUUUUGAUCGUUUCCAUAGUUGUAUACUGUAUACUAGGUUACUUUUAGCCUGCACUGUGUUCUCAUCUGAUUUUUUACAGUCUUCCAUUUGCUUUGUGUAGAUGGAGGUUUGGGCUAAGGAAAGAGAAGUUGCUGGCUUGAGGGCUAGCUUGAAUACACUGAUGUCUGAAAUACAACGCUUAAAUAAAUUAUGUGCGGAAAGGAAAGAAGCUGAAGAUUCUUUGAAAAAGAAGUGGAAGAAGAUUGAAGAAUUUGAUUACCGCAGAUCAGAACUUGAAAUCAUAUAUACCACAUUACUAAAAGUUAACAUGGUAAGGAUCUCAGCUUCAAUAGUGCUUAUAAAUUUACUAGUCACUUCAUAUACUGGCAUUGUAUAAGCCAUGUCUGGUCAUUCCAUGAAGUGUCGGCUCCUUUUCUUUAAGUUCCAGGCAAAAGUUCAUAUAUAUAAUAUAAAAUUCAAGACAAAUUUUCUAGCAGCCCAACGAGUAGAUGGACUCUUUUUUUUUUUUAAAUGAAAUCCACGGUCUCCUCUUUAGAUGCCCAAAGACCCUAUUUAUGGUUAUAGGUCUGGGGUUAACUCACCAGGAGACUUCAAUUUCCCUGGAACUUAUGCAAAUGAUAUCACCAAUUGCAUAGUUUUCAUUUGUUAUUCGUAUCAUAUGGUAGAAUAUUUCAAUAGAGGCAGCUAGGAUAAUGCUUAUCCAUCUCUUUGUCUUCUGUCGGGAAUAUUUUCUAAUGUUAUUUUUGUCUUGGUACAUGGUAGGAUGCUGCUGCCUUCUGGAAUCAGCAGCCAUUAGCCGCACGGGAGUAUGCAUCAAGCACAAUUAUUCCUGCAUGCACAGUAGUCAUGGAUCUUUCAAAUAGUGAAAAACAUCUUAUUGAAAGAGAAGUUUCUGCUUUUGACCAAAGUCCUGAUAAUAGCCUCUACAUGAUUCCAGCAAUUCCACAGGUUUGUGUUGGGGCUUAAAAAGACUUCACUACUUUGGAGAUGUUUAUCUCAUAAAGAAGAAUGUAACGCAGCGGAAUUGAUAGCCAAGAAAAAAGAAAGAACACUCAGAGUAUUACACAAAAUUUUUAUUCUCACACAAACUUAGUACAAGAGGAAACACUCAAACACUCUUACACUUCUUCACUCUUUUUCUCGCUUCUUGCUUUCUUACUGACUCUCACUUCUUCUUGCUUCUUUGUUACACAACACCACACACCUAUUUAAAGGUGGUGUUCCCCGACUAUCCUUGUUACCACCGACUUGAGCAUUGCAGCAAUGACCACAUGAUUUGCCGCCUCUAGAUCUUUCUUUAACUUGGAUAUUUUAGGUGAUAACCAUUUGAAAUUGCUGAAAUUUUCCAGCUAUAUUAUCGACAUAGAUUGCUAGCAUUUGCACACAUUUGCUUUGGGUUAGAUCACUUGUCUUGGGCCAAAGACAAGAUUACCUUUUAACAUCCUCCCUUAAUCUUGUCUUGUGACGCCGAUUGAGUUCCUCAGUCUAACAAAGUCUUCUUGUUUGAGUGGCUUGAUGAAUAUGUCAGCGACUUGGUCUUGAGACUUCACGGAUUCCACUUGCACAUCCUUUCUUGCAAUGCACUCUCUUAUGUAGUGAUAACGAGUAUCUAUGUGCUUGCUCCUGUCAUGGAACACCAGAUUCUUUGCUAGAGCUAUUACAGACUUGUUGUCGACAUUGAUCUCUGUUGGCUCUUCUUGUGGCCUGCUUAAUUCUUUCAGCACGUUUCUCAGCCAAAUUGCAUGACAGAUACAUGCGGUAGCAGCUAUAUAUUCAACUUCACAGGCAGACAGUGUGACAAUUGGUUGCUUCUUCAACAUCCAUGUGAAUGCAGUGUCUCCCAUGAAGAACACAAAUCCAGUAAUGUUUUUUCUAUCGUCGGAAUCUCCUGCCGAAUCACUGUCGCUAUAUCCAACAAGCUUGUAGUUAUUAGAGCUUGAAUAGAACAAGCCAAAGUUAAUAGUACCUUUAAGGUAUCAAAGAAUUCUUUUGGCGGUCUUCAAAUGUGUACUUAUGGGAUUCUCCAUGUAUCGACUAACUAAUCUGACGACAUAGAGAAUAUCUGGUCUUGUGCAAGCCAAUAGUGCAAGCUUCUAACUAGACUUUUGAAAAAUGUUGGAUCUACGCUUUCUCCUUUGUCAUGCUUGGUUAGUUUGACUCCGCACUUCAUUGGCGUGCUUAUGGGCUUGCAGUCUUCCAUUUUGAACUUUUUCAAUACCUCAUUUUGUAGCUUUCUUGGGAGAUGAAAAUGCCUUCUUCGUUUUGCUUAACUUCAAUGCCUAGGUAGUAUGUCAUCAGCCCGAUGUCGGUUAUCUCGAAUUCUUUGGUCAUCACUCUCUUGAACUCUUCAAACAUACUUGGAUUACUCACGGUGAAGAUUAGAUCAUCCACAUAUAAGCACACAAUCAAAAUGUCUCCAUCUUUGACUUUGAGAGCAUGUUCAUGAGGGCACUUGAUGAAGUUGUUCUCCUGAAAGUACUUGUCGAUGUGACUAUUCCAUGCUCGUGGCAUUUAUUUUAACCCAUAGAGGACUUUCUUCAACUUCAGAACUUUGUCUUCAUGCCCUUUGAUUUCAUAACCUGAUGGUUGCUGAAUGUAGACUUCUUCUUCAAGGACUCCAUUUAGGAAAGCGGACUUCACAACCAUUUGUUGAAUCUUCCAUUUGUUUUGAGCUGCCAAAGAAAUUAGUAAUUGUAUCGUUUCCUAAUGAGCAACGGGUGUAAAUACUUCAUUAUAAUCGAUUCUGGCUGUUUGACUAUAACAUUUCGCCACUAGUCUCGCCUUGUGUCUUUCGACCUCUCCAUUGGCAUUUUUCUUUGUUUUGUACACCCACUUGACUCCGAUGGCUUUAUGUCAUUUCGGAAGAAUAGUGAGUUCCCAUGUAUCAUUUUUUUGAAUUGCUUUGAUUUCUUCAUCCAUUGCUUUCCUCCAUUUAGUAUCCUGCACUGCUUCUUAGAAGUUGACUAGUUCACAAUCAGCAAAGAGACAGAAAAAUGUAGGAUUAUCAAGUCUUUUAGCCACCUCAUAGAGAUCUUGUAGACUUCUUGUGUGUGGUACUUCUGUUUCAUUUAGACUCCCACUUGACGAUGCUGAUGCUGGUAAAUUGCCAUGAUUGGUUGAUGUUGGUGAAGCAGGUAGAGUAGUGGAUUCUUGUUGAUCUUCUCUUGCUUGCUCCAUUAUUGUUUGUUCAUUAUCUUCUUCAAAUUGAGGAAAGAAGUGAAGAUCACCUGCAUGCAAGCCAAAAUCCCAUUCUCUUUCUUUAUUGAACGUCACUUCUCGACUAAUCACCGUCUUCCCAUUGUUCGAAGUAUACAGUUUAUAGCCUUUUGAAUUUGUGUCAUAGUUGAUGAAGAUGAACUUCUCACUUUUGUCGUCAAGUUUGGUGCUCCUCUUGUCUGGUACAUGUACAUGGGCUAUGCUUCCAAAAACUGUUAGAUGAAAGAUACCUGGCUUUCUUCCACUCCAUGCUUCUUGCGGAGUCCUUCCCUACACACUCUUUGUUGGAGACCGAUUGGAUAGGUAGACAACAUAUGUUACAGCUUCUGCCCACAAUUCCUUAGGCAAUCUCUAGCUUUUGAGCGUGCUUCGAGCCAUGUCGAGGGAUAGUUCGAUCUUUUCUUUCCGCCACACUAUUUUGUUGAGGGGAUCUUGGAACUAUCAAAGGUCAACGAAUUCCAUUUGCUUCACAAAACUCUUGAAAUUCAUUCGAAGUGAAUUCUCCUUCUCGAUCAGAUCUCAUGGCUUUGAUCUUGCAACCACUCUACUUUUCUACAACGGCUUUGAACUUCUUGAAUGCUCCAAAGACUUCUGAUUUCUGCUUCAAGAAAUACACCCAGGUUUUCCUUGAAAAAUCAUCAAUGAAGAGAAGGAAAUAAUUAUUUUUAGCCCAUGGAACACAAAAUUAUAACUUUUUGGACAACAAUACCCUUCUCUUUUUCAUUAAUUUCACUUCGAAAAUUAAACAAAAUUAAUCAAAAUUCCAGAGAUCUCUCAAUUUCUGCACAAUUAGCAUAAAAUAUUCAUUAAAAAUCAAAAUUUACCUCAACAAAUCAACUCAAAAACUAAGUUCUCUUGUUUUUCCAGGAAAUCAAGCUUAUUUGAUCGCACUUCAAAUUUUUUGGGAAACUGAGUGACAAAAACCCAACAAAAAGAAAUUUUCUCUAUGUUUGAUUUCUAUAUUCAAAGAAGAAAAACAGCAAAAUGAAGAAAAUCCAGAUCAGAUAAAGCAUUCUUGAGAAAGCCAAAGAGAGGAAAUUUUCUGGGGAAACAAACAUGAAGAACAGAAGGGUACCGGGGAAAGCCGAUGAAAGGAAGUGGCUGAUGCCGUCGCUCGAGGGAUGGGACAGCGAGGAUUAGGUGGAAGAUGUGAGGGAUGACGUUGAACUCGUAGGCGGUGGCUCAGGUAAGGUCGAACUCGUCGGAGUGGAUGGGUACGAUUGUCAUUUAAUCUUUCGUUCCAUUUCAGCUUGAACAUACACCAAAUGUAGCAUGGAACCUCCGUUCCGUCCUGUUUCGUCCAGUCUGUGUACUAAACGGUACCUUAUUGAAUGAAAGGAAAAGGCUUCUGCUUGGCUUAAUACCACUUUAGUCCAAUUGUCUUCUUGUUCUAGAAAUUGACAACUCUAUGUGAUGAAAAAACAUCUCAUGCUUAUUGUACGGAUGAAAAGUGCUGCUUUACACUAUUACAUUUAAAGUGAUUAGAAAUUCCGUGAAAAUUUAUAUUAUCUCAUUGCAUUGAUGAACGGGUGAGAUAUAGAGAAACAAAAUUUUAUACUUUCAUCUACUACAUUGAUGCUUAGGCGCACCGAAAGUCACCCAAAACCCUAAAAUUCUCCUCAUGAAUUAUGUGUCUAAUAUUUUUCAGAAGUUGUUAUCAGCACUUGCAAACAGUUUUUUAUGCAUGUCGGUCUGGAAGUUAUCUAUGAGGGGUCAUGAUAAUUAUUUUAAAAUGUUAGUAACAGUUAUCUUUUCUUAUUCUCGGUAGGCGGCUACCUCCCCCACACAGCAGCCCUAAACUCGCCCGUGAUGAGAAGACAUGACAUGUCUUUUGCGAAUGACAGGGAAUUGGACAAAACCAUCCCAUCUUUGUUUCAAUAAUUAUUAUGAAUUAUCGUAUACCGAUUAAUCUGUAAGCAGAUGAGAUAGCUACUCAUUUUCACCAUAAAAGGAAAACAUUUCAUCACAAGAUUGCAGUGCGGACAGAGAGGGUUGUGGUUGUCGUAGAUAAACCUAGGUUUCGUCACAAAACAGGAAAUUGAAUUAAGAACAAAACAAACAGAUUGUGGGUAGGAAAAGACAGAUUUUUUAGUGUGUUGAGAACACUGUUUGGUACACCAAGUAUAAUAAUACAAUUGGUUGGAAACUUGUUAAAAAAAAAAAUUUCCAACUAUUUAUAUCAUAUGGUGUAUUAGACCGUGUUCCCGAUAUCAACGAGAUUUGGAUGUCAUGCAUACAAAUAAAGCCCCUUAUUACUGUCACAUUAUUAUGUCUUGAUAAGAUCUUUAUUUAUUCCCUGCAAGUACCAUAUGAGAAAUGCUAAAGAGACUCUCUAUGGAUUCUCUGUUUGUCACUUCAUGUUUUUGACAUAAUAUUUUAUAAUGUUAGCACCAUAAUUGACUGUAAACUGUAAGGUAAUAUAGAGUAUAUGAAGAGUUCCACUUUAAGAGUGUCUCCUUAGCAUUUCUCAUACCAUAUUCUGACACCAUAGAAAGUAGCCAUUUUUUAUUGUAAGUUUUAGUUUUCACACGUAUUUAUGUUAUGCGAGACAACCGCAAAUAAAUCUUUUUGUAUAUACAACUUUUAUCAAGUUUAAGAGUUAUAAUUAAGAUAUUCCCGGUUGUAUAUAUUUAUAUGUUUUUAGUCAGUAUAAUUGGAGCUCAUCAUUAGUGUGUACGUGAUAGAUAUCCUCGGUUACACGGCAGAAUCUCACAGGAAUGUCAUAGCCAAUAAACUAGGCUCCUAUGCAUCAAUUUUUUAUGUGUGAAGAGAAAACACGAAUAAAUACAUGCAACAAUCUAUUGUUGCUGAUUGUGUACAACUUCAGACUCAUGAAAUUUGUAGCCACUCUACAUAUCUCGUGUGUAAAGUGGUACAUCAAAUGUGUCGAACUUGAUACAUCAAGUGUCAUAAUGCAAUUAAUUAAAAAACAAGAUUUCAAAUCUUUAUUUUCAAGUUUCACAUCUAACAGGGACCCAAUUAUUCUCUUUGGGACUUUUACAGCAACAAAGAAACAACCUCAAUCUACUUGCCCACCAUCCCAUACCUUUUUUUUUUCUUGUCUGGUUUGGUGGUAGGGAAUGAAACUUAUCUACGUUCACUUCUUCUGGUUUGCAGUUGACUGGUUUUUCCAUUAGUGUAAAAACGAAGCUUCAUGGACUGAUGCAGUACAUGGGGAACAAAUAUAUUUAAGGUUUUAGUGACUUCUUAUCUCUUAAAAGCCUUUGUGACCUUUCUUUUAAUUGAAUUGCCUAGUAACUAUCCUACUCUUAAAUAUUUAGUAUACCAAUGUUUGUAAUUUCCCUAUUUAAAGGGCUCCAUAUGUAUCCUUAAAGUGGUGAAAUUAGUGAAUUAAAGUUAAUCUAAGAAGAGAGUGGGCUUUCUCCUCAAAAUCAAGUGUGAGAUUUGGUUGUGUCGAGUGAAUCCACGAUUAGUGACGUGAGUGAAUCCGUUGCCCCUGGUCGAGUGAUUCCCAGGUUCUAUCCCUGUAGAGACGUGAGUGAUUCCGUCCCCCCUAGUUGAGCGAUUCCCAGGUUACUACCCCUUGUCUUUUCGAGACCCAUGGUUUUUUCUGCAUCAAGUGGCAUCAAAUAGAGAUGGCAAUUCAAACCGUUAAACUCGAUAACCGUGUAUAACCGCCUGAGAGAGGAUUUGGGUAUGAAAAUUUGGGUAUAUUAUGGAAAUGGGGAAAAAACGUGAACUUUAAUCGGUUAUGGUUUUGUAUAUGAUUAUAAGGGUCCCCAAUCCAUAUCCGUCCCCAAAUCCGAAUCCGAACCGAAUAAUAUAUAAUAUUAUUUGGUUUAUGUAAUAUAUAUAUAUAUAUAUUGUAUUUGAGUGAAGCUAUACCAUCAUUACCAUAUUCAUUAUUCGCUGCAUAAUGUAUUUAGUAUAUUAUUCGCCGCAUAAUGUAUUACAAAAUUCAUUUAUUGUUAUUGUGGAGCCAAAAAUAAUCAUAGGGCAACACAUGGAUUUUGGUAAAAAGGACAAAGUUACUCCUGAGACACACCGGUUCUCCUACGCCUGAGCAGUGGACAGUCAUUCUUUAAUCAAGCCAAGAGUGUCCAAAAAAGGUAACCAAUUCCAAAUUAUCUCAUCCAUCCUCAUCUUAGGUAAUUACUUCAUAACCUACAAAUUAUUCCAUAUACAUAGAGAUUAAUUGGCUAAUUAAUGGAUUAAUUCCUAAUUAAUCCAUUAAUCACCAAUUAAAUCACCCAUUUUCACACCUAAAACCUCUAAGGCCCGGCCACCUCCAUUCCCUAUAUAUAUGACCCUAUUUUUUCUAAAAAAAGGGUUCCACACUCUUGCAAAACUCCCAAAAACUCUCCAAAAACUUUUAUCUCUAAAUUCUAACUUUGGCAUCGGAGGUUCUUCGGCCAAAGCCUCCCAUUCAUUGUGGGCGGGUGAGGCUCUUGGCCUUGACCUAAGGUGUUAAUUGUUUUGUAGGUUCAAUUUUGUCAGGUGCAAUUUUGUCCAAGAAGAAGAAGGCGGAAAUUUGCAUUCAUAAAUUGGUGUUUUCAUUGAGAGAUGAGUACCACACUCGUAGAAGACUCUCGCAUCCAAGGUUUUCUAUUUUCUUGUCCAUUUGUAGAUUUUUCGUACGUUCUUAUUAUUAGAAUUUUUUAUUUGCAAAAAUUCUUUGAUAAAACGUAAAAGAGAAGUACAAUGGCUAGAAAUUUAAAAAAUUCAACAAAUGAAAAUUUCAACAUUUAAGAGAUGGGACCACGGCGAUUCACGAGGCUAAAUGUGACAAUAAGUGGAGCAGCACCACAACCACAAGUUUCCUCCAUGGGAACCACCGUGGUGGCUGCCUCGGUAGCCACUCGCGGUGAGGUCCAUGGCACCAUUACCGCGGCGAGGUCUAUGGCACCAUUACCACGGCCUGAGUCGUGCCAUUAAAGCAAUCCCAAUACAUGUCACUUCAAGCCCAAUGUGUUGCCAAGCCGAGCCCUAGCCUCGCACCCACAUACGCCACACGCCGAGCAGCCUACUCACGUGGCCCAGCCUGCCCCCAUGGCCGAGCCUGCUCCCGCCGAGUAGCCUACUCCUGUGGCACAACAUGCUCUAUCUAAGCAGCCCAUUCUCGUGGCACAGCCUGCUCCCUUUGAGCAUCUCAUUCUCGUGGCCCAACCUGCUCUCGCAGCUCUGCUUGCUCCCAUAACCCUGCCUGCUCCCAUGAUUUCCCAAGCAGCCCAAGUCGGCUCGAGAAUAUCUCGACCAUCCAGAGCAACCAUCAAGCCGGGGGCAUUUUUACCAUAUUUCUCCACAGAUUUGACAUUUCCCAACUCAAAUCUCAUGCCUAGAGUGUUCCAUACUUCCACUGCUUAAUGAGGCACAUUCUUUCUAAGCUCUUCCAAUCUAAAUGGCGAACAACACUUGUCUCGACAAGUCAUAAAGUUGACGAGCUCCCUUGCACAACAGACGACCUUGAUGAAUCAACUUUUGCAAUGCACCGAGAUCUAACGUGCCUUGGACAAGGUAUCCCUAAGUAGGACAAGGGUAGACGAAUCUUUCCAGCAGCAUCCCGGUAAGCAGCUACUCGACCAGCCACGAGCCGAGCGUUCGGGUAGUGUACAUUUCUGAUUAGGCCCCCAAGAUAGCAUAUACUUCCAUCUUAUAGCACGGAGGAGCGUGCACUCUCGACUAGGCCUGAGGAUAAGUAUACACUCACGAUUGGGGCUACACUUAGAUAAUCAACAUGAGCAGCCUUCCAGGCAAUGCAUUCAUUCGCAGCUAGGCCCGUAAAGAAUAUCAUCCACAUCAUAUCGGAGCAGACAACACAGCAGACGGAAAGAAGCAGUCACUCAAUCCGGCUCAAGUUCAACCAGUAGCCUGUGAGUUACACACUCGCCUGCUAGGAAUAUACCACACCCACCGUAGCCGCGGCAUAGACAAGCCGAACAUAUGGAAGAACAGCUUAGACUAUCACAUCACGAUCAGGGGCAAUCAAGAGCUCUGCCACCCCAACAAAGGAAAAUUCAGGAAGAAGUAGAAAGGCUCCUGACCAAGCGAUUGCGCAAUUUCUCGCGCCAACCAAAGCCUCAAAAGGGCACAAGAUGAAACACCUAAUGAUGGCGCAAUAAUUCAGAGAGCAGCUCAUUGCGUUUACACCUUAACGUGGGUUCCACAAACAGUUCACCAAACAAGACCUCGCAGUCUGAAGAUUAUUUCAGUUGUCUAGCAGUCCAGCUUUCCUCAGCUGCACUCACGACAACGACUUCCAUGAUUUCCAGUGCGAAAGGAUAAACUAAUUGCUCUCCAGUGCGAGAGGGUAAACCAAUUCCCCGACACCCAUAUGGGUUUGCUCUCCAAUGCAAGAAGAUAAACUAAUUGCUCUCCAGUGCGAGAAGGUAAACCAAUUCCUUGACACUCGUAUGGGUUUGCUCUCCAGUGCGAGAGGAUAAACUAAUUGCUCUCCAGUGUGAGAGGGUAAACCAAUUCCUUGACAUUCAUAUAUGUUUGCUUUCCUGUGCGAGAGGAUAAACUAAUUGCUCUCCAGUGCAAGAGGGUAAACUAAUUGCUCUCUAAUGCGAUAGGGUAAACUAAAUCCCUGACAGCCAUUUGGGUAAGCUCUCCAGUGCGAGAAGGCUGCAUAGUUUAAAAGAUCAAAUGCUUGAAGAUCAACUAAGCAACAAAUGGUUAGGGGGCAGCAGCCACUUUUACACUUAAUAGUUCGCUCAUCCGACACUUCAUUUUCAGAAACUCUGAUCUUGGCAGCUUUAUCCUUGACUGCUCCAUCUAUGGCAGUUGAAAAAUCAAACUUAAGCAGUUUCCUCAUAUUUAGCAGGCAGCCCAAACAAUUGCCUAUUCCACGCCACUUCCUCGGCCCAUGUCGAACCAAUCAUUGGCUUCAAUCCAGCCGAGUUGCUCAAGCAAUGGCCCCUGCCACAUCACCUCCUUGGCUCAUGCUAAGCCGACUCUUGGCCCCUGCCAGCUGAUGUGUCGUACCACCCUGAUUACUGCCCUGUGGCAGCACCACCCAAGAAGAAGACAAGAAGAAAUUAAGUUUUUAUUACAUUGGUGCGGCAUAGAGAAGACGAAGAAAGCAACAAAAGACGGUCAUUUGCAUGGGCAAGAUGUAGAAGAUUGCUAAAUGAGGGGGAACAAAUAUCCUCUAAACUCUCUCUCUCUCUUGUAAGGUAGAAUAAAUCACUCUCCAAAGUUGAUUUAAUAACCCACUUAAGGUGGACUUAAAUAGGUUUUGAGAGAAAUUUAUUUCCCUUUCCUAGAAUGAUCUAAUUUCAUAUUAAAGAGGGAUUCUACAUCAAAACAGGAAGCGGUUCUAAGUUUCCUAGAGCAAAAAGAUCUUUACACCUGCUGCCCUUUCUUACGAGUAGCCCAACAGGUGUGGGGGCAUUUGUGGAGCAAAAAAUUAUCACAAGGCAACACGUGGAUUUUUGGUAAAAAGGACAAAGUUACCCCUGAGACACACCGGUUAUCCUACGCGCAAGCAGUGGACAAUCAUUCUUUAAUCAAGCCAAGAGUGUCCAAAAAGGGUAACCAAUUCCAAAUUAUCUCAUCCAUCCUCAUCAUAGGUAAUUACUUCAUAACCUACAAAUUAUUCCAUAUAAAUGGAGAUUAAUUGGCUAAUUAAUGGAUUAAUUCCUAAUUAAUCCAUUAAUCACCAAUUAAAUCACCCAUUUUCACACAAAAAACCUUUAAGGGCCGGCCACCACCAUUCCCUAUAUAUAUGACCCUAUUUUUUUUCUAAAAAAGGGGUUCCACACUCUUGCAAAACUCCCAAAAACUCUCCAAAUACUUUUCUCUCUAAAUUCUAACUUUGGUAUCGGAGGUUCUUCGGCCAAAGCCCCCCCCAUUCAUCGUGGGCGUGUGAGGCCCUUGGCCUUGACCUAAGGUGUUAAUUGUUUUGUAGGUGCAAUUUUGUCCAAUAAGAAAAAGGUGGAAAUUUGCAUCCACAUUUAUGUUUUAUUUAUUUAUUAUUAAACGUGGCUAUUUAAUGACAAAAUUAGUAUUCACUAAAUUAUUGUGCGCCAAUUGGAUGAAUAUAAUUUUUUGUUGUUGACGAAGAUGGAUAUAACCAUUAAUUGAUAGGAAAUCCGUUACCCGGUGGGUAUGGUUAUGGAUAAUUCCCGAUAGUUAUUUUGCAGUUAUGGAUAUGGUUAAUUAUCAUGGUUAUGGAAUAGAUAUAAGAUUUCCGUCCCCAAAUUGAACCGUUGCCAUCCCUAGCAUCAGUGCAGGUUUUCUGCUAUGGAGUUAAAAGGAAAAAAAAAAUCAUGUUGUUGAUUCUACACUUCUCUUCAAAUUUCAGUUCUCUUUGUCCUAAUCACCCAAAAGGUUACCUAUAAUUGGAAAGGUCUGCGAGUCCACUUUCUAACAGAACAGACAGUGCCUCAAUCAAAAUUUUUUUUGCAGCAAUUUGCUAGCAAAUAGUGUAAGGUGUAUGUUUUGUGCAAAAUCUGCAAGGCGCAGUUUCGUUUUCAACGAAGAGAUAUACCAGCAUCUUGUUCCAAUGAAUAAUAAUCAGGUAUAUGAAAACCACUCUAGUAUGAUAUUUAUCGAGGAAGAUCUGUUUUAUUCACAAAGAAUUGAUUGGAAUUUACCUCCACUAUAUGAUGAGUAUUCGGAGGAUGGUGUUUUGAUGAUUCCUAUCCAAACAGGUGCUAACGUUGAAGUGAAUGUUGAAGAACAUGCUUUGAUAGAUAUUUGCAGCUUGGAAAGUUCAGAAUAUGAAGGAUUUGGAUUUUUUCAAGAUGAGAAGAUUGAUAGUCCAAUGUUAAGUUCAUCAAUAAGCUACGGGCAUGUAAAAUUGUGGUCACGGCCAAGUGAUGAAGGAGCUGUUCAAAUUUGCUUUUUAAUUCUCCAGCACAUUGUUAAAGAUCAAGUUUUGGGGACAUUACAACCGAUGGCAUAUCGUUGGGAAGGUCGAAAACCUAAAUUCAAAUUAAGAUUAAAAAGAUACAAACUCGAGGACGAGUUUUUUUCGAGAAGAGUAGAAUCAUGCAGUGCAUGGGGAACAAAUAUAUUUAAGGCUUUAGUGACUUGUCAUCUCUCAAAACCUUUGUGACCUUAUCUUUUGAUUGAAUUGCCUAGUAACUAUCCUACUAUUAAAUAUUUUGUAUACCAAUGCUUUGUAAUUUCCCUAUUUAAAGGGCUCCAAAUGUAUCUUUAAGGUAGUCAAUUAGUGAAUUAAAAAUAAUCCAAGAAGAGAGAGAGUUUUCUCCUUCCUUAAAAUCCAGUGUGAGACUUGGUCGUAUCGAGAAGAAGAAAAUGAUGCAAUGCAUGGAGAACAAACACAUUUAAGGCUUCGUGGUUUCUCAUCUUCCAAAACUUUCUGUCACCUUCUCUUUUAUGAGUUGCCUGCCUAGUAACGAUCCUAUUAUUAAAUAUUUAAUCUACCAAUGCUUUGUAAUCUCCCUAUUUAAGGGCUCCAAAUGUAUCUUUAAGGUAGUCAAUUAGUGAAUUAAAACUAAUCCAAGAAGAGAGUGAGUUUUCUCAUUCCUUAAAAUCAAGUGUGAGACUUGGUCGUGUCGAGUGAAUCCACGGUUAGCGACAUGAGUAAUUAUGUUGCCCCUAGUCGAGUGAUUCCCAGGUUCUACCCAUAGAGAAGUCGAGUGAAUCCAUUGCCAUUGGUUAAGUGAUUUCCAGUUACCCCUUGUCUUUUCGAGACCCUUGGUCUUUUCUACGUCAAGUGGCAUCAUAGUAGGUUUUUCGCUGCAGUUAAAGAUCAUGGCUAUGAUUAUCAAUCCGUUUCAAGAUCACAUCGUUGAAGAGAUUAGUUUUGUCAAUUGAAAUUCUCCGCCAAUUUAUGACAAAUAUGUUGAUGACGAUGAGUUUACUGUUGAUGUGGCUCAUCAAGGAGUUUAUCUGCUGCUAGGAGAUGAAGGCUUUGUGGAUUGGGGUUAUCCACAUAAUAUGAGUACAAUGGCGGAAACAUUUUACAUGUAGCUUCAUAAAGAGGAACUAAGGUGUACUUGCUUUGGAAUAACAUGGAAGCGGAGUUCAAAGGAAUAUUUUGUGUGACAGAACAACUUGGACUGCUCUGGAUUUGCUUUUGCUAUUGUGGCUGUUGUGGAAAAAAAUUGAAAGGUAUCCAAAAGAUCGAGGAAAACAAAAUCAAAGGAAACUCGAGGACGAGUUUUUGUUCGAGAAGAGGAAAAUGAUGCAGUGCAUGGAGAACAAAUAUAUUUAAGGUUUUCGUGGCUUCUCAUCUCCCAAAACCUUUGUGACCCUCCCUUUUAAUUGAAUUGCCUAAGUAACUAUCCUACUCUUAAAUAUUUAGUAUACCAAUGCUUUGUAAUUUCCCUAUUUAAAGGGCUCCAUAUGUAUCCUUAAAGUAGUGAAAUUAGUGAAUUAAAGUUAAUCUAAGAAGAGAGUGAGUUUUUUCCUCCUUAAAAUCAAGUGUGAGACUUGGUUGUGUCGGAUGAAUACACGAUGAACGACGUGAGUGAAUUCGUUGCCCCUAGUCGAGUGAUUCCCAAGUUUUAUUCCCAUAGAGACGUAAGUGAUUCCGUCCCCUCUGGAUGAAUGAUUCUCAGAUUACUACCCCUUUAUCUUUUCGAGACCCUUGGUCUUUUUGCAUCAUGGACCCCAAGUUAUAAUAUUCCUAAAAUAGUCAUUCCAAUUUGUCUUGUCAAUCACAAUUAAUUUGUUGAGCUAAUUUUGUUGUGUACGUGUAAAAUAAGCCAAUCAGUGUCCUUUUUAUAUCUAAAAAAUUGUAUAAUCCUACAGAGAAUAUUUAUAUUAGGCCUCAGCAAUUGAUAUAAAAGGCAACCUGUAUGAACACAUUCUUAGAGUCAAUAAUAGCAGAGCUUCUUAGAGGGGAAAGUAGAUAGGUUGUAAAACAAUGUCCUGGUUUCUUACAGUCAUCUUUCUGGUCACUACUCUUACAUUUCAUACUCCUUCAGAGGCUAUCUAUGAGGAGAUUCCAGCCUUCUGCAGUAGUUGUGGGAACUGUCUACUGUGACACAUGUUUCCAAGAGGAUUUCUCAAAUACCAGCCAUUUCAUUUCAGGUAAAUUCAUCUCAAAUUUUCAACAAGUUCUUCAUCAAGUUUUAUUUUUCUAUUGUAGCCAGUUCAAUAAUUUCCAUACACCCCUUCUCUUCUUCUAUACACACUCAUGUUUAUAUUUUAAUCAUUAAAUUUGAAUAAAUCAGAGAAAAAUUAAAAGAAGGAAAUAAACAAAAGUGUACAAAUGGAGAAAAUGUAAAAUCUAAAUUGACUGAAAACCUUUAUACAGGUAUUUCCUACGAGUCAACCAUACAACUACGAAAAAUUAAUUAACACAAAUCAACAGCAAAAAAAAUCUCACUUAAACUAAUUCCUUGACGGUAGGAUUCUGCUUUCAAUCACGAUUUCUUUCCAACAGACAACAAAACGUUGGAAGUUAUGUCAUCGUAACUUGUCAUUUUAUUGUCAGUCAACAAAACUUCCUGACAUGAUAUGGAUGCAUUAUCCAUCAAUAAUCUUGUGGGGGUUUUUGUGCAGGGGCUUCUGUUGGUGUGGAAUGCAAAGAUGGGACUUUAACAAAACAAAGUUUCAACGCACAAGUGAAAACAAACAGCCAUGGGCAGUUCAAAGUCCAUCUGCCCUUCUCAGUGAGCAAAGAUGUCAAGAAAAUUGAAGGAUGCUCCGUGAAACUAAUCCGCAGCAGUGAACCCUACUGUGCUGUGGCCUCAUCAGCCACCUCAUCUUCCCUACACCUCAAGGCAACAAAACAAGGGACUUACAUAUUCUCUGCUGGUUUCUUCACCUUCAAGCCUCUCAAGCAACCCAGCUUAUGCAACCAGAAACCCAACAUUCAGAAUUCCAAGAAAUUAAAUUCCCAGAAGUUCUCAGAGAUGGCAUUCCCAUCCUCCUCUCAGGUGGACCCCAAAAUGCCUGAUCCCUCUCUCAACCAAUCUGAUCUCCUAGGUCUCCCAGGUCUCCCAGGUCUCCCAGGUCUCCCAGGACUCCCAGGUCUCCCAGGUCUCCCAGGACUCCCAGGACUCCCAGGACUCCCAGGUCUCCCAGGCCUCCCAGGACUUCCAGGCCUGCCCCUUGCUGCUGAAAAAACUUCAUCCAAGUCCUCCAACUCCAAAACUUCAAGGAAUGGGCAACUAGGUGAUAAUAAAGAAGUCAGCCCAUCCAGAUUCUCCACCAGCAGGUUCAGCACCAUGAUUCCCAACCUACCACCUAUCCUGAUUUCUGUUGGGUUCCUAUCCUAUUGGGCGUAACCCGUUUAAGUAGAAUAAGCCCAUUUAGGUCUUCUGAGUUGUGGUUUCCUGAAGUUCUAUGUAUUUAGGUCUCUUCCUUCUCUUUCGAGAAUUAUGUGAAAUAUUGAAUGUUUAAGUUUUAUCUGCUUUUCCCAUUUUCUCUCUACUUUUCCCUCUUUCUUCUCUAACGAGAAUGUGUCGUUCAUAGACAGCUACAAGUACGGUAAUAUAAUACGAUUCAAUUAUUAGUUAAAUACAAUGAUUAUAUCGUUGAAACUUAAAAUUUCAAGAUAAGAGAUUCAAAGAUAAUAUAAUAUAUAUAUAUAUAUAUAUAUAUAUAUAUAUAUAUAUAAUAUUAUAUAUAUCAAUUAUUGUUGAAUCUUACCCAAGGAUGAAAAAGGGUAUGGGUAUUCUUUGCAGGGGUGGAAAAACAGAAGUGGGUCGGCCAUGCUUUUACUAUGUGGGCCCCUUAGAGAAAACCUGCUAAAAAUGAACCGUUUCAACAGAAGGAGGCAAAUAGCUGUACGGAACGACGACGUCCCUGAAUUAAGGUCAUCUUCUUCGAGUGCGGACGAGCCGUAUCACAUACCUUUCCUGUUUCCAUCGAGUUUGAUCUACUUCAACUUCUGUUUCGACAGAGUAGCAGGGUAAUGAUUUUGGGAAAAAAAUUUAAGGUUAGGGUUUUGGAGAAUAAUUUUGUGACUAGGGUUUUAGGGUUUUGGAUUGUUUUCACAAAAUCAUUCUCCACUGGUGAAAUAAAUCACCAUAAUAAUAGCAGUAGGCUAUGAUUUUAACUUAAUCAGUACCCAAAUGUAAAAUUUUAUGCUUAUUUCCGCAAAUACUAUUAACAAUUUAACAUGGAGUUUUAAUUUUUUAUGAAAUUUUUGUAGUUGAUUGGGUUUGUAUGAUGAAUAUUAGUGUUUUGAGCCACACUUGUUAGUCCAACUUCAAGCAAAUUUGCAAUCAGCAAGUCCAUUCUCUCUAGCUGCGACCUUCCUUGCAAAGGGAGGAAUCUUAACAGAGUCUUCAACCCUUCCCCAAAAGCUAUGAAUAAAGUCUUUAGCGACGACGGUCCAAUUAAGCACUCUAACUUUGGCCUUAUUGGUAUCGGAACGGGCCUCCCUGGAUCAGUGACAGCCGCCGCAGCUUCUACUGCCGUAAAAACUGUUCUUCACGUACCUUGACACUAACCACUUUUAUGGUGACUACUGCGCCUUUCUUCCCAUUGAUGAUUUGACUGUCUACCUAAAUUCUCAUGCUUCCCAACCCUCCGCCACUACUACCACCAAUUUCACCUCUACAAGUACAAGCCAUGAUGAUUGCAUCGCCUUACCCCUCACCCGCCAGUUGCUGUACGCCGAUACAGAGACCGUUACAUAUGCCCCUUAAGUCCUUGCACAAUAUAAUAGAAGCAAACCUCGGUCAAAUAAUAUAAACUUGAACUCCAUUUUGAGCAUUGUGAGAUAAGGGAAUGUGCUAGAAACUAUUAUGUUAAAUUCAUUCUUAUUAAACCUUUCAAAUAUGUGAUGUUUAUUAAUAAGCAUUUUAGGAAUAUCUAUGACUAUGUUUUUAGAUUGUUUGUACCAUACUUGACCAAUCCCGACACUACUAAGCACCGGUCAACGUUAUACCGUCAAGGACCUAGAAGAGUUUCCCUCCAACCAGGAGGCCAAUCACAGCGCGACACGUGUUGACAUCAGAAGCCAAUCAUAGCGCGACACGUGUCAACAUAAGAAGCCAAUCACAACACGACACGUGUUAAUGUCAGAAUGAAACUAGAAACUCUCUUCUAUAAAUAGAGAUCAUUCUCUCACAAUAUUUCCUAAUGUCAUUUGUACUAAAUCAUUCACUAGUACUCACUAAAGGAGAGCUUGAACCUAUGUACUUGUGUAAACCCUUCACAAUUAAUGAGAACUCAUCUACUCCGUGGACGUAGCCAAUCUGGGUGAACCACGUACAUCUUGUGUUUGCUUUCCUGUCUCUAUCCAUUUACAUACUUAUCCACACUAGUGACUGGAGCAAUCUAGCAAAGGCCACAAACUUAACACUUUCUGUUGUACCAAAGUCCUCACCGAUUUUGUGCAUCAACAUUUGGCGCCGUCUGUGGGAACGACACUUAUUCUCACUCUCUUCAGCUUUGUUAAGCUGGUUUCCACCAUUUGUACACUCUCUUUUGACCAGGCAUCCCUCUCCAACAUGGGGAGCGACGGAAGCCACAACACACAGAAUGACACCCUUCUUGCACCUAGUGUGAAGCAACGAAAGAAGGAAGGAAAGAGGGUUGCUUUUCAAGCUAAAGUCGAUGAGCUAGAAUCUUAAAACAACAAGAUAGCAAUGAAGAAUGAGGUCCUCCAAGAGCAGUAUGAGAAGCUCUUUAAGAUGCUCCACGAAACUAGGCGUACUCAAACACGCGAACUCGUUACCCCUGUGGACAUCAACCAUCAUCUGGAUACCUCCCAACAAGGAGGGUCACCUUCCUUCGACAUGGGUAUCCCUGAUGAGGAGCGAGCUAAUCAUCAAAACAUUGAUCAACAUGAGACUUCUUUCAACUCAGAUGCUUCGACCCGAAACAGGAGAAGUGGAGGAAGACACCUUUUUGCAGAAAGGUUGGAAGGAUCGAAAUCCAUUUAUCAUGACUGCCGAGACUUCCUAAAGCAACGUCAAGAGAAUCUCCUCCACAUAAGCUCGAAGAUCAAUGACCCAAGGGUUUCUGAAAGACUUGGUCCCCUCCCACGUCCCAGGCCGGCUACCAAUUUGGGGAAAGGGCAACAAGUCCUAGAGAAACACGAAGGUAUAGGGGGCUCAGAGAUGUUUCGACAGACAUACCUUGAAAGUCAGUACGGCGAGUCCAAGGAAAAAUCACAUGCUCUUGAUCAAACCUUCAUACUUCCAAGAGGAGAUGAACAUUUACGAAAGAAAGCUCAAGUGGUACAUGACUCCACUCAAGACCUUCUUGUCAUACAGCUUCUUAAGGAAGUAAACAAGUUGAAGGCCGAACGACAAGCUGAGAUACCUGAUUGGAACCAACCUAGGCCUGGCCCUCUUACAAGGAGGAUCCUCGACACCCCCUCCAAACAAAGACAAAGCAGAAGCUUGGCUUGCAACUCUAUACUGGAAAAGAGGACCCGAUUGAACACCUUAACCUCUUUGAGUCCACCAUGGCAUACCGGAUGCAUACCAACGAAGAGCGAUGUCUUCUCUUCCCCUCCACCCUCUCUGGCGGAGCUCUAAACUGGUAUUGUCGUCUUCCACCUGAGACGGUAGACUCAUUUGAGGAAUUGAGGAAACUGUUUGUUUCUCAACACAUUUUUCAGACUGAUCGCUUACAUUUUGCAGAUGACUUGUACACUAUUCGCCAGAAGCCGGACGAGUCACUACGAGAGUAUGCCAAUCGCUUUAGCCAUGAGUAUUCUCGAUGCGCUGAGGUAGAUGACAAGAUCGCCCUCAAGGUCUUCACGGCAAGCCUUCGUGAUUGUUUCUUCAAGUACAUGAUCAAUGCCAACACUUGGAAGACUUACUCUGAGGUGAUGGCAUAGGCUUACAACCAUGCAUCCGCCGAGGCAAGGACAUAUCAAGGGAAACCCCCCACAGCCACCCCUUAUCAGCAAGUAGGGAGUGGAAGCCAGAUCCAACCAAAUGAGAAGACCUCGACCUUCCAAACAGCAGCGGUGCCUCCCUCUGCCUUACUUAAUAUUUUGCCAAGUCAACAGACAUAUCAAUCUCAGGGCAAAAGGAAAGAUUUCUAUCCUCACCAGUCUCAUUUUAGUAAAAUGAGUAAGGGACACUACCGCGAUAACCAAGGGUAUCACCACGAUAAUCCCCGACCCCAGGCAGUCAACACAGUGGGUCAAGCACGUGUCCGGAUAGCCCAUACCCCGAGGUAUGAGGCAUACACACCUUUGAACGCCACAUGCGUGGCCAUUUACCCCAGCAUAGCACACCUGAUACCGAAGCCAAAGCCGAGGCACCUGGAUUACAAGUCCACGAAGAACACAGGCACAUUUUGUUGCUACCACGAGUAUAACGGCCAUGACGGUGAAAAGUGUAUCACCCUUCGAGAUCAUAUUGAAGCUUUGGCAUGUGAAGGAAAAAUUGAUCAAUUCCUCAUUCACUCUUCAAGGGGUAACCGUAACCAACCCCAGGUGAAUGUGAUAUAUUCCAUAAGUGGUGACACACCCAUAUCUAAAUCUUCCAACAGGGCCAUGAAAAAUAGUGAACGAGCUUUAAGGUAUGGCCACCAAGUGUUUCACGUGGAAGACAUUAGGGGAGGCAAGCAUCAAAAGCCUAACUGGGAUCUAAUAUGUUUCUACCUUGAGGAAGAAAGAGGUAUCAUCUACCCUCACCACGACCCAUUGAUCGUGGAAGCUCACAUAACCAACUUUAAAGUACGACGAAUCCUAGUAGACACGGGGGCUUCGGUCAAUAUCAUGUUUGCCGAAGUUUUCAGGGCACUUAAUGUAGCUGAACACUUGCUCGAUCGCUCGAUUUCCCUUCUGAUAAGCUUCUCCGGUGAUAUCGUGCAACCUUUAGGGAGCAUACACUUACCUUUCACCAUUGGUACAUACCUUUACACAUCUACCAUUACCACUAACUUCCUGGUGGUUGAUUGCCCAACGACAUACAAUGUCAUCUUGGGACGCACAUGCAUCAAUGAUCUCAAGGCCAUGGUAUCCAUAUAUAUGUUGUUGAUAAAAUUUCCAACCCACUAUGGCAAUGGUUACAUCAGAGGAGAUCAACUUAGUUCACGAUCAUGUUACAACACUUCGGUCAAGCAACAACACCUGCAUGUGCCCAAGGAAACCCUUUCUAUACAUGACCAAGUCAUAAAAACCAGCCCAGACGAAGCCAACUUGGAUCUUCACGGUGGCAACAGUCAACCCGAUGAUCCUCGAGAUGACUUUUUUACCCAGCAAGCACAACCCACUGAAGAGUUGGAGAAGGUCUCUAUAUUAAAAGAUUAUCCGGAUCGCAUGGUGAAGAUUGGCACCACCUUGUCACUACCCAUUCGGUUGGCAUUGAUCUCUUUUUUGCAAGAGAACACUGAGGUUUUCGCCUGGUCAUACGAGGACAUGCCAAGCGUCUCUCCCGAUAUCAUUUGUCAUCGCUUAAGUAUUGACCCCAAAACCAAGCCAGUGAGACAGAAGCGAAGAUCCUAUGACGUUGAAUUUGUAGGAGACAAUGAAGGCAGAAGUUGAAAAAGUCAAAGGCAUAGGCUUCGUCCGCGAAGUCAAUUAUCCAAUGUGGGUAGCAAAUGUUGUCCUUGUUAAGAAGAAUCCGACCAAGGAAAGUCUCCUACUCCAAAAGGUCUUGUGGAGAAUGUGUGUCGAUUACACCGACCUAAACAAAGGAUGCCCGAAUGAUAGCUUUCCUCUUCCUCUCAUAAAUAUACUUAUAGACUCUACAACAGGGUGUGAACUCCUGAGCUUCAUGGAUGCUUACUCAGGAUACAACCAAAUCCUUAUGAACCCUCUGAACCAAGAACACACAACCUUCACUACUGACAGGGGACUAUAUUCACUAGUACAAAAACAUGUUUGCGCGACGAAAACUUACGCGACGCAUAAAAUUACGUCGCGCAAAGCCGUUUUGCACGACGUAGGUGUACGUACGUCGCGCAAAACGUCUUUGCGCGACGUAAUUUUACGCGAUGCUGUCCUUCGUCGCGUAAACUUUUGGUGCCAAACCAAAAGAAUUUACCGUUUUUUCCCAACUUUGUGCGACGCAUGCCCACUUACGUCGCGCAAAGUUGUUUUGCGCGACGUAGGUGGGGAUGCGUCGCGCAAAGUCAACAACUUUUUUUCUUUUCAUUUGAUCAGUUUGGGAGGCAGAAACUGCAUACCUAGCUGCAGCAACUACCUCCAUUGCCCAUCUCUCUCUUCAAAACCGUCUACCAGAUCAGGUUUGAAGUUUGAAUUGAUAUCAAUUCUUUGUAUUUUUUCGAUUGCAAUCCUUCCCCUUUGCUCUUAAACAUGAUGUAAACUGAAUUAAUAAUAUGUAGAUCCUUCAUGUGAUUCAUUUACGAAAUUGAAAUUGCAAAAUCAAAGGAGAUAACUAUCUUGCUGAUUUUCUUUUUCUCUAUACACCAGAUCUCUUCUUUCUGUAGCGACUUAUUUGUUCGUACAUAAAAGCAGAGGUGAUAAAUUAGUUGGGGAAGACAAAUAGGCUUAUAUCCAGGUGAGGAGGACCCUGAGCACAGCUUAAGAAAUUACUAGGAAUAGCAUUGUGAGGCCUAAAUGUCAAUUGGCCAGGACUCCAUACAUGCGCAAUUUUGGUCUUUAGUAAAAACAUCUAAAUGAUGAUGGGUAUGUCCUUGAUGAAGUACCCGGUUAGCUGUUUUUACGAAGGACAAAAUACCGUAUAUGUAUGGAUUCAAACGCCACCAUCAAAUGGAUAAGAAAUUAGCGUCCAAUCCAUCGAAGCAAUUCAUGAUGUCUCCAACAUGUUGGAAGAUUUAAUUGGCAAUGGGAAGUUAGACCCAUUGAGAUGACGAAGAUGGUUUUCUCACGACGUUAAGAGUAGAAGUGUCAUCUUGAGCUCCUAAUCAAUUGUUAUAUUCCUACUGUAUAUGGUUAAUUUAUGUCUCCACCACUCAUGUAUCAUUCUUUGCAUGCGAUCCAAAAAUAAGGAUUCAAUGACCAAAAAACAUGGUUGUUGCAAAUUCAUCCAAAUUCAUGGGAAAUAAAUUAUGCUUAUAUCUUUCUCAUGAUGUGUACAUAUUAUUGAAUUGAUCUAUUCAUUUGUCAAAAAAGUGAACUAGUCGUGUUUAAUUACAUCAAAUUUGUCAAGCUGAUGUUGCCUAGCUGGUAUUCGUGUCGCCUACUUGCCAAUACGUUGAAAAUACACUCACUACUUGCAUAGAAUUUCAUAAUUGUAGGUUGUAUUUGGCUUGGAGACAUUGUGUUUUUACUUUCUUUACCAUAUUUUGGUUCAGAAAACCAGCAGUUCCGAUGACUGGAGGAAAGUCACUCUUCAGCUGGUACUCACAUUAGUUACGCGAACAAGAGCUACUGCUUACGUAAGGUUAAUGAUGGUGCUUGUCUUACUAACAGUUUCACAAUAAGUGAAUCCGUGAUAGGUGACAUGGUUUUCUGAUAAGUUGCAGUCUUUUGGAUAUUAUGCAAGCUAUUGCAGAUAUGAAUGGUGCAGAUAUUCGUCUUACUCUUCAAUCAUUCAACAGCCACUGAGCACAGCUUAAGAAAUUACUAGGAACAAGAGCACGGCUUAGCGGCCUUCUUUUAGUGUAGAUAAUAUCAUUUGUUAGAGAAAUUUUUUAUAUAUAUAUAACAAGGAAGAAAAUGAAAGAGGACAAAUAAUAAGAGAGCAGACACACGAUCGCCUACAAACUUCCAUGUAAACCCAGCCUGCUUUAUUCGUUUUUUCAGACCGAUUAAACAAAGCACAGAACUUAUUCCUCCUUUUUUAAUCCCUUAUUAAUCCCAAGUCUAUGUCUUAAGACAUUCUUUAUCUUCAACUACUUGCAUGUUUGACAUAUCUUAAUAAUAUUUCGUGUGUAACAUUUAGCUCUGAGUACUUAUCAAACAGACAUUAAGAUGCUGCCAAUCCUCAGACUGCAGCCUAUCAUCAUUUGAACACUUGUUCAAGUUUACAGUUUUGAUCCCCUGUCAACACCUACUCCCUUCUUUGUUUUGAUCCAACACCUUAUUUCAAAUCUGCAAAUAGUCACUUGCUAAGAGAAUGAGCAAUGUAACUGUUGCAUUUAGAAGUCGGAUUGUGUCAGUCGAGUGUAAGCAGGCAAUGAGCCUUUUAGUAACGCCAUCUUCUUAUGUUCAUAGAAGUCAGCAGUCUGCAAGUUUAAGCACCUUGUUUGUACAGUUUUACGUUUGUGUACCUAGUUCCAUUCAUAAGUCAGAUUUUAUCAGUUGAUUGCAAAUGCAAUCAGCAAGCAGAAUAUGUCAAUGUAUUUAGUAACAAAUGUCUCAUGCUUAGUAAAUGACUUGCGUAUUAUCUUCGUAAAUUGGCUUUCAUAACUUGUAUAAGAUUAGCAGCAUCCAUAAAUUUCUGUAGGGAAAGUUUUGAAAUUGGAUUUGUGCAUGAUAUGGGAAUUUGUGAGGAUGUAUGUUUGCUCUUGUUGUCUGUGGUCCUCCCCUGCCUUUUUCUUUAGGUUUGGUUAAAGUCUAAGCUACAUCUCUUUCUUAUUAUAAGUCGCAUGCAGAGAGAGAAGAUGAUGACGAUGGUCCUGUAUGUAUAUAUAUAUAGCUACCUCUUCUUUAUUUUUAUGAUUAUAUGAUUACUAAUUAGUCAUUUUACGUUGAUCAUAUUGAUUAAUCUAGAAUGUUAAAUCUAGUAUAUUGUUCUUGCAGACUUGUAUUUUGAAGGUGAGCAUAUGUUGUUUAGGGGGUUCCAAGCUAUGGCCACCCCACUUCACUAAGCUGUGGCCUCCCAAGUUCAUAAAAACAAAGACGGCUAUUACAUGUUGCAAAGGAUGUGCUCACAAAAUCAAGAAGAAAUUGCAGAACUUAACGGUACAAAAUCAGUUUUUUACUUCCCUCUUGCAGUUGAUCAUCAAAUUAGGAAUAUCUGCACAGAUAAAACCGGUUAAAAAUUCUUAACAAAAAUUAAACUAGGAAACGAUUUUAUUAGAACUUUGUAAUUGGUUCUGUUUGUUCUUAUGGUAUUAGUUUGUUUCUUUUCACUUGUUACUGCCUUUUGUAAUCAACUUUUUCACUGUCAUUAUUUACUCUGAUUGGUGAUGACAGAGGCAUGGCUAUUGUAUCUCAUAUAAGAGGAGAACUAAUAAGGAGAACUAAGGACUAAAUUAAGAGAUAGAUACGUAAAGUGAAAUAAAGGGUGCAUAAAUCACUUUAUAUUAAAAUGAAGUCUAAGAGACAUUUAACUACAUUUGAGAUGUCACAGUGUACAUAAAUCACUUUAUUUUCUUCGCUAAAUUAAUUUUUAUUAAUUUUAUCUAUUUUAUUUAGUUUUAGUAAUUAUUGUGAUUUAGUUUAUUUGUAUGCACAUAUUUUUGUACAUCACCUACAAAAUUGUUUUGUGUUGUACUAAGUUAAUACUACUUAACUUCAUACCCUUUUCUCAGGAAAAGCUUAGUUUCCCGUUUGAGAAUUAGUUGGAUUUCGUGCAUGGAUGUGAAAGCAUGACUGCGGUCCAAUUAAUUAUUGAAUUGUCCCAUUUUUUGGACAGUUUGGGAAUGCCCUAGUUAUGUGUUGUAGUUUGCGGUCCACAGAUUAGCUUUCGAUAGUGGAAAUUUUGGUAACAUUUCCCGAUGUUCUUUGAGUACACGGUGGAUAUUAUGUAUCUACGACGUGCACUUGAAGAACUGUAAGGAGAUGCUGGGAAAUUAGCCCACGUCGAAAUUUAAUCCAUUGGAAUCGUAAAUUACGGCACAUAACUGUGCAUUCUUGAAUGGGAUAGGGCCCUGACCAGAGGAAUAAGGUGACAAGACAAUAGUUUUCAUGUCCUAAUCUGUCUCAUAAUUUGCUUCAAUUGUACUUAAUUCCAAUUUUUGAAUAAAAUGAAUGAAUGCCAGCAGCGGUGUAGAUUUUCAAUGGCAUCCAAUUUCAUAUAGUUUAAUUAGUUAUAUCUCCAUUUACCUAUAUACCUAUUCAUUCCAAUUUUAUAUGAUCGCUUGAUGCAAAACUUUUCUAGAUAUUAUUAGUUGUAGCAGUUGCAUCUCUUAAAGAUCUAUACAACUUAUUCUCACUGGUUCACGGUGGAUUUUGCAGUUACUUCUCGAGCGUGGGGAAGCACGAAGGGUUAUUCCUUGGUAACACAUUUAUAAGGAUUCCGUUGUAGACGUUGUUGUAAUUCUUGUACUUUUAUUCGGAUUGCAGACAAAAUGGACAAACAGUGGAUACAUAAUCAUAAUAGAUGUGUUGUUGAGUACUUGGAUGGAAUACAUGCGUUCAUUGAAUUCGCAACUAGACAUAACCUAGGUUCAACUCAUAUCCGAUGUCCAUGUAGGAGGUGUAACAACUCAACGUGGGAGACAUUCAAGAAUGUUUGAUUUCAUUUAGUAAGAAAUGGGAUGAUGGAGACCUAUACUACUUGGUGUCAUCAUGGAGAACGAUUAGACCAAGCUUCGUCUUCAUACGUGACACGAGUGGAAACUGUUGAAUCAAAUGUGGAUCCUAAUGAACAAGUUAUGAAUAUUCUAAAUGACGUUUAUUCAUACGCCUCGAGCAACACCAAUCAGGAAGAGGGAGAAGAGGGAGAUGACGGCCGUCCAACCAUGGACAGUGAGGCAUUCAAAAACUACGAAAAACUAUUGAAAAAUGCCAAGCAAGAAUUAUAUCCAGGUUGUGAGAACUUUUCAAUGCUCACAACAAUUGUGGAGUUGAUGCAUGGCAAGAUCAAGUUUCGUUUGUCAAACAAGUGUUUUGAUUACUUUUUGGGAGUUAUCAAAAGGAUGGUUCCAAAGGAGAAUUGUUUACCUAAAGAUCAUAAAAGUGCCCAAAAAGUGUUGAAGGGUCUCGGAUUGGGGUAUGAAAAAAUUCAUGCAUGUGUAAAUAAUUGUAUAUUGUUCUAUAAGGAGAACAAAGCAUUGGAUAAAUGCCCUGUCUGCAAUGAGCCGAGGUUUAAAAUGACAUCACAGAAUAGAAACACCAAGAUUCCACAAAAAGUAAUGCGCUAUCUUCCAUUGAAGCCUAGGUUGCAGCGAUUGUACAUGUCGAUGCAUACCGCAACCGACAUGAGAUGGCAUAAAGAAGGAUGGGUAAAUGACGAUGUUAUGAGGCAUCAUGCAUAUGGAGAGGCAUGGAAAGAAUUCGAUCGGAUGUACCCUGAUUUUGCAGCUGACCCGCGCAACGUCAGAUUGGGACUUGCCACCGAUGGAUUUAAUCUGUUCGGGGUUUUAAACCUAAUGCACAACACUUGGCCGGUCAUCGUGUUUCCUUAUAAUUUGCCACCUUGGAAGUGCAUGAAAAAAGAAUACAUGAUGUUAAUUCUAUUAAUUAACAAAGAUCCAGGAAAGUCCAUUGAUGUUUAUUUGCGGCCGUUGGUUGAUGAGCUAAAAGAUUUAUGGGAAAACGAUGUUUGUACAUACGAUAAAUAUACUGGGCAGAUGUUCACCAUGCGAGCGGCAGUGAUGUGGACAAUAAAUGAUUUUCCCGCUUAUGCAAUGGUUUCUAGAUAGAUGACUAAGGGUUAUUUGGCAUGUCCAAUAUGCAAGGAGAACGUAACAUCAUCUUGGCAUGCAAGAAAAGUUUGUUAUCUUGGUCAUCGUAGAUGGCUCCCUUGGGACAACGAGUGGCGUCAGAAUGAUAAAUCCUUCGACAGCACAAAAGAAACUCGGCCAAGACCAAGAGAAUAAUCCAGAGAUGAGAUUUUGGAUCAGUUAAACCGUUUGGAAUUUGGUCAUUUCGGCAAAGGGGUCAGUAACCCCAAACCAACUACACAUCUGAACUGGACACACAAGAGUAUGUUAUUUGAGCUUCUGUAUUGGUCAAAGUUAAAAUUGAGACGCAACCUCGAUGUUAUGCAUAUUGAGAAAAAUGUGUUUGACACUUUGAUCGGGACAAUUCUAGACAUUGAAAGAAAAACAAAAGACACGAUCGAAGCUCGCCUCGAUUUGGAACGAAUGGGUAUUAGGUCAUCCUUGUGGAUGAAGAAUGUCGGUGGUACAUUGAAGAAAGGCCAUCCCUUUUUUACAUUUAAGCCGAAUGGGAAAAAAGAGUUUUUCAACUUUAUUUCUUCUGUAAAGUUUCCAGAUGGGUAUGCUUCCAAUAUCUCGCGUUGUGUGAACGUGAAGGGGUGUAAAUUUCAAAACAUGAAGAGUCAUGAAUGUCAUGUGAUACUCCAACGCCUUCUUCCAGUUGGUAUUCGACACUUAUUGCCUCUUGAUGUGGUGAAACCAAUCGUGUUGUUGUCGAGAUUUUUUUCGCAGUUGACUGCAAGGUGUUUGUGGAAGUCAGAUGUUAAACAAUUGCAGGACGACAUAGUGAACGUCUUAUGCAAGUUCGAACAGAUAUUUCCCCCAGCUUUCUUUACAAGUAUGAUUCACGUGAUGAUUCACUUGCCAGAUGAGGCAUUGCUUGCCGGACCAGUGAACUGUCGAUGGAUGUAUCCAAUAGAAAGGUACUUAAUUAAGCGUCUAUAUAUAUAUAUAUAUAUAUAUAUAUAUAUAUAUAUAUAUAUAUAUAUAUAUAUAUAACAUAUUCAUGAUCAACGAACGCUUUGAAUAAUUUGUAGCAUACCUUUUAUUUGUGCAUAUAUCUUGGUGAGUUGAAAACUUGUGUUCGAAACAAGGCAAAGCCCGAAGGAUCACUUGUGGAUGCAUGGGUCACAUAUGAGUCACUUACUUUUUGUGCAAUGUAUCUUGAAGAUGUUGAGACAGCUUUCAAUCGUCCAGAACACAAUAAUGAUGGUGGUGUCAGAAAAGAGAAACUGUCUAUUUUUCCCCAAAUUGCACGACCAUUCGGCGAUCCUGUAAAAGACGAAUCGUUUACCAAAAAGGACAUGGAGGUAGCGCAUUGGUUCAUACUCAACAAUUGUGACGAGGCUUUGCCAUACCUUGAAGAGCAUGAACAAUUGAUGAAGCGGGAACAUCCUUCACAUUUAUAUGCCAAGAAGCACCGUGACUUGUUUCCUUCGUGGUUUCAUGCACAUGUAAGUUGUAUGUGGUUUGAAUUGAGCAUAUUUUCCAACUUGUUCAUGCCCGUCUUUAAAUUUGGUUAUACUAACAAGUUAAUUUUUUGUAUAUGUUAUAUUAGAUGAACAAAUUGAAGGAAUUGAAUUCACCCUCUUACGAUGAAGAAUUAUAUAACUUGGCGAGAUGACCGCUUCACGUUGAAUUGUUCUCAGGUUGUCAUGUCAACGGGAUCAAGUUCUUGGGGGAAACACGUGAUGACAAGUUGUCUACUUAAAAUAGUGGUGUCCAUGUCCCAGGUGCGGGUGAUAGUGAAGACAUUGAUUUUUUUGGCAAACUAACUAGUGUAGUACAAUUGCUUUACAAAGAUAGGUGUCAAGUGAUAUUGUUUAAGUGUCUUUGGUUUGAUACAAACCCACAUAACCGAACGAGUGUUAAGCGAGACCAUGGUUUACUAUCAGUAAACAUUAUGAGACAUUGGUACGAUGAAGACCCAUACAUUUUGGCAACAAUGGCAAAACAAAUAUUCUAUCUAGACGACCCUAAAGCUGGCAAUGGUUGGAAAGUUGUUCAAAAGAUUGAUCGAAGAGGGCUAUAUGAUAUUCCAUAACAAGAUCAUGAUGACAAUUACGAUAACGUCGCUGACCAACAGUUAUCAUCUUCGAUAGAAAUUGGUGAAGAAACACUCCGGGAUACUAAUAUUGUCCAAGAACCGUUUGACGUAGUUGGAUUUCCUGAAUUCGAAAUAUCAAUUGACCUUGGUGAUCUACCUCAAUACAAUGCAUCGGAAGAGGAAAACGAAGAUGAAGACAAAUGGGAAUCCGGAAAUGAUAGUAGUGAGGAUAGCGAGAGUAAUUAUUGUAGUUCAGAUGAUGAUUAAUAUAAACUUGUAAAGAAAAAUCGUGCUUUUUCGUUUAUAACCGUCAAAAAGUUUUGUCCCUUUACAUAAUCUCUGAAUGUUUGUUUUUUGCAAUUUUUGGCGUCUGCGAUCUCGAAGCAUAUACAAACAAGUUUGACGGUUGGAUAGUUGAAAUUAGUUUUGUACAAUGCGUUUCCCAUCAAGUUCAAUGGUAUAUAUAUUUACUAAGUUGAUUUUAAUUUAUUUAUUUUGUACUUAUAACACUUAAGAAAUUUAAUGAUAUAUAUGUAAAAAAAAAAUUAUUGUGAGUUUUUGUUAGAAAAAUAUAUUAUUGUGGGGUUUAUGUAAAAUAAAUUUGAAUUUGAAAGAAGUAAAAUCACAUUUUUAGUAAUUUUUAUAAUAUUUAAAAAAAAAUAAAAUAAAAAAACCUUGCGCAACGUCUUAAUGUAGUCGUUGAGCAAAACUACUUUGCGUGACGUCAAUUUGUAUACCUACGUCGCGUCAUGUGAUAAUUUUGGCGCUCUAAUAGUGAAAAAUAGGCGUUUGUUUUCAAUUUUCCAAGUUUGGCAAACUUUUGAACCCCAUAGAUCUCUCUCUUCCCGUAUACCUCUCUCUUCCCACUCGCUCUUUCUUUCCCGCACGUAGACAUGCAUCUCUCCCUCUCGCUCUUUCUUUCCUGUACGUAGACCUGCAUCUCUCCCUCUUUCUCUCUCUUUCCCGUAGACCUCUCUCUCCUCUUCGCAACCUUCAACCCCCAAAUCUCAAAGCCGACGCGACGUAGGUUCCCAAAAUCAAGGUAAGGGUUUCUCAUUUUCGAUGGGUUUUUGUUAUUUAGGGUUUAGGGUCAAAUUGCAUGUUGAUUUCUGAGUACUUUGUCGAAAUCUCCAGAUAAAAUUGGAUGUUGGUUCUGAUUUGAUAGGGUUUCAGAUUUGUGAUGGUUUGAGGUUAUGUGGGUCUGUUGAUUUUGUUCAGUUGAUAGGGUUUGAGGUUCUGAUUUAGCACAGUGGUGGGUUUUCUCGAAGAACCUUAAAAGCAUGAAUCCUUACUCUGUCGUCCCUGGUACAAAAUUUCAACUUAUUUUUGUAUAUUUCUGAACCAAAUAUAUAUAUAUAUAUAGCAUCUUGAUCUUCUUCUUCACAGGGCAUGUUCAUCGGCUGUGAGGUGGUGGUUAUCUGUCAGUCUCCUGGUGAAAUUCUCAAUCUUUCUCUCUUAAUUAAGUGUUAAUCAUAGCUUUUAAACUGUUUUUCUUUCACUCAUCAGUCAUCACAUCCACACUCAGCUCAUCCUUCUCCAAAUUAAACUCAUUUUCUGGGUUUUUUUUUCUUUCAAAAGGGAAAUCUCAGUCACAAGGACAUGUAAAGUUCAUUACCCGUAAAUUUCAUUUGGUUUUUGUUACAAAUGGAACAGGAAUGGCUUACUUGCAAUUUAGGACUUGUAAUUUGAUAAUAAUAAAAGAAGGACGUCUGUUUAUUGAGAGAUGCCUAGGACUGGUUUGAUGUUUGUCAACGAAAGUAAGCUUUGAAUUUCAGUAGGCGGUGCUACCAAGCUUCGAACUUAAUUUGACCUACCACCAUUUGUUUUACUUCGAAUUAAAACAUGGAGAGAUCCUGCUAUAGAUUUGUAAAUAUUAUGCUAGCAAAGUCUUUUGAGCAUUAUGAUUUUCUUGUCCUGUAGCAGCAUAAUAAUGCUCAUAUAUGAUGCUAACUGUUACAUCCCAGACUCAAUCGUCAGUUAAUUAUAUUAUGAGUGAGUUCGGGAAUAACAUGAACCUAAUAGGUAAAUACCUCAGAAAUUUUCCUUUUGCUUAUUUAAUUGGCAUUGACUUGCAUAUAGUAUUCAUGCAUGUUAGAUGUAUUCUGGAAUAUCUUGUUCUUUUAAAUAGUUGUUGUGAAAAACCUGUAUUCUUGUUCUGAAGAAUGAGCCCUGCAUAUGGCUUUUCCAGAUUUGUAGGAAGUGUUAACUUUUCACAGGGGAUUGAAACUAGAAAACAUUUGAUGCACAUACUUAUAUAUGAUAUGCCUGAUUGCUUAACCCACUGCCUCAAGCUAUUACGGUAUUACCUUAGAUGAGAAUUUUACUUGAAUAGACUUAAGCAGUGCAGGACCCGACCAUUUAAAUACUGUACUUUUGAGCAGUUGCAUUAUAACCCACAUAUCCCAUGUAAAGUUUAUUCUAAACCUUUCAUGAGGUGGAACAAAUUAGUGAAAAAAUCUAUCAUUUUUGCUCACAAAAUACACAUACUGCCACAGUUUAACUAAUUUGAUCCUUAUAUAGUGAUUCUCUUUUAGGGUUUGUUCAGAUGCAAGAAAGGAUUAGUUUAAAUAUUCUUGUAUUGAUAUUAUUGCUCUAAUUACUUAUAUUACUUUGGUUGCUAUUUUAUUAGUUUCAAAUGCAAGAAAUGAUUAGUUUCUAAUGUUAUAUUUGUAUGGUUCAUAAAGUGUAUAGAUGUCGCAGUUGAUCACUCGUCGUCGGAGUGUGUCCAAUGCAGCUCCUGCAUUAUCAGCAUCUAGUGCUCCAGGUGUGAGUGCUCCAAGCGUGAGUGCUCCAUUGAUUGGGGAGCCUACACCCCUUACGGAGGCUACUCCUACGACGUCCCAGGUGCCCGUAUCAUCAACGUCAUCAGUGUCAGUUCAACCCCUCAGUGCACGGCGGCCUCCCUAGCGCCGCCGCGAGCCGGAGCCUUCUGAUCACACUUCCUUGUCCUCCAGAGUCGAGGAUGGGGCCUCCCAACCAGGUAGUUUUUUUUCUAAUUCUCACUACGUUGCAUUUUUUUUUCAUUUCAAAACUAUUACUUUUAUGAUUGUGAAAAUGUGUUGCGGGUUGUGAAUUACUGUUUUAAGGUACUUUUAUGAUUAGGGGAGGUUUUGCCGAAUUUUUUGUACAAAUUUAAGCUUAGGGUUUUUACCAUUAAAGUUUUUUUGGGUAGCUAAAAAAAAACACCAAGGGGCCCAAUCGAAUGUUGAAGGAGCUACAGCUUGUACGUAUGUCUGCCUCCUUGAUCAAGAUUGCGUAUGAUGAGCGACAUUGUGGAGCGGUUACCUCACAGCAGCAUAACAGCGUCGUUAAUUGCUGUGGUUUUAUUAUUAGGAAUUUUUGUCCUAUGCGGUGGGAGAGUUGGGCAAAAAUUCCCGAUGAGACGAGGACCCUGGUGCGAGAUAAUUUGGAGGUUAGUAAAUUAAUUUUUAGCAAAGUCAACAUCUUUCUCUGCUUAAACUAUUGCAGGGCCAUCAUCUUGAUUAAUAAAGUCAAGAUCUUUCUCUCAAUUUCUGUUUGGUUGCUAAGAAAAUGUAGGGGGGAAAGAGAAAUCAGGUGCAUUUCAUUGUUUUGCACCUGAUAGCCGAGUGUUGUUGUGGUGAAUAAUUUGGUCAUGUAUUUUGCACACUCUUCUUCUAUUCAUAAUUGGGAGCAGGUGUGGUCCUUUAGUUUUGGUUAAUUUCAGUGAUUUGCGGCACUGUUCUUUGUUGUCUGAAUGCUUCAUGGGAAGGAAAUUGAAAAAUAAUUCCGUGAACCAAUGUUAAAAUAAUGAUUAUGUUGGUUAGGUGGAAGGAUUACUAUCUUAUCUGAUGCAUAUUUAUGGGUUUUUAGUUUUGGUCUACGUCCUUGCUUAAUGAUUUAUGAUAGUGUUUAAGUGAGUAUGCAUGCCGUCUCUAGUACAUUGCUUUGCUUGUGUUGUGCAUCAGUUAACCUGAUCCAUAGUAUCCACUGGUUGAGCAACAUCGUGAUACCUAAACAUUAUGCCUAUACAUGCUGUUUUGUUUUAAUCAUUAAGUGCUUCUUGGGACUGGCUAUACUAAUCAAAUAAUCUAUCUUUUACCGAGCGAGUCCUAUGUAUGGUUCUUGACUUUGCCUCAAUUUGAUAGUGAAUUGUUUUUAGUUGUUGUCCUGGUUUUAUUUAUUAAAGUGAACUACGAAAGCAGCCUUAAAUAGUCGAGUUAAAUCCUUUGUUGAGAAAUUGUGCUAAGGAAAGGAAUUUGAUAAAUAAUUUGAGUGUUAACCUUAUGGUUUGAACAUUAAAGGUUUGACACUUGCGUGAAGCUGAGGUUUGACACUACUUUCCGAACUAGUAUGAAUGAUCCUAUAUAUAAAAAUUGUUUAUAAUUUUGUAAGCUUCCUGUAUAUUACUGUAACCACUUUCUACACAUUUACUUACCUUCUUAUGAAGUUUUUCUUCGAAUCUGCUAAUAUUUGUUGGGUCAUUUAGAAAUGACAUGCUUACUACAUGCUAUUCUUAGUGGGUUGCAGUUGGACAAGAGUCUCAUAAACAUGUUACACAAUUUGAUUUCUGUAGUUGCAGCAGCAUAAUUUUCAUUCUGUCAGUUUUACUACUUCUGGAUUGUAAGCACAACCAGUUUAAACAGGCAUGAUGUUGUAAAUUACUUUAACGAAGCUCACAUCUUAAGGGGUAAAUUGGUUUUUGGUUGUAAAAAUUAGAGCAUGUCCUUAGUAACAGCUAUUUGGAAGCCAACAUGAUUAACUGACUGUUAAAGUGGGAUAUGAAAUGCUUGUAUGCAAUAGGUUACCUUUAUGGAAUUGCAUUAAAUUGUACAUGCAUGACUUUUUUUUUCUUUUUGGGUAAAGUAUAUAUAAUAGUAGUUGGCUUACAUCCUAACAAAUCAUUUAACAUGCUACUGGAAUAGUUGAUCUUGAGUUACAGUCAGUGCAGUUACAACCUCUCUAUAAAAUGUUGAAUUUCCACCUUUGGUCUCUGUACCGGUGGAAAGAGGCUCACAUGGGAGAUCAAAACCCCACUCUUGAGAUCUUUCAUAAUAUAAACAUUAUAUUGUUUGCUUCCUAACAAAUUAAGAUUCUAGUUAUUAUUGUAAACCGACAAACUUUAUCAGUAUCUUAUAAACUAGUUGUCAAUUAUUCUGAUACAUGGUCAUUUUGUUUGUCAUUUUGUUUUUCAUAUUUGUAGGUCGUUUUUGAAAUGGAGGACAUAUCCCCUGAGGUCAGUGCCUACUUAGAGGAGACCUUUGCAAGCCGGUACAAAGAUUGGAAGAGCACUCUUCACAAGCAUUUUUAGCUAUGGGAAUCUCCGGAGAUUGCUCGCCUACAGGGUUGCCCACUCGAGUAUAAGGAGCGGCGAGAGGAUUGGGAGUGGCUCUGCACACAUUUUACGGAUCCAAAAUUUGUGGUAUGUACAUAAUACUUUAAUAAUAAUUUAUUGUUUUUGUUAUUUCAUUUAAGCUUUUUUUAAUAAUUUCUUUCAAAUAGUCGCACUAACAUGUAUAUUGUAUGUUUAACAGAAUAAAUCUGUUGUUGGCAAGAAAGCUCGGGACUCAAAGACACUUCUCCACCAUUCCAGUUCGAAGCCCUUUUCGUAUAGGGUUGAGGCACGACGUGAGGUAAAAGUAUAUUAAUUUUGAAAUUUUAUACAAUCUAUUUUUUAUUAUUGAUUAAUAAAAUUUUCUUAAUGUUUUUUUUUUCUUUAGAAGGGUUCUAAGUUCCCACAGAUUGACCUGUUCAAGCAUGUUUACGUUCAUCCCAACAAUGAGAAUAGUGACCAGCUUUAUGUAAGUAUAUGUAAUUGUUAUUUUUCUUAUUUUUAUGAAUCGUUCAAAUAUUAUUUAUAUUUUGUUAUUAAACAUAGUGGAAAAGAGCACUGCUAUUCUCCAAGAAGCAACAUCGCAGCUUCCCCCAAAGACCCCGAUCGAGGACGUCAUUGUACCCAAGGAUGCAAAUGUUCAGAUCGUGACUGAGGUCCUGGAUCAGAAGUUCGGUCGUCAUCAUGGUAAGGUUGUUAGGUGUACGGGGAAGGCGGGGGUUCGUGAAACGGGUGCCUCUUCUUCCAGAUUGUCCACAGGAAAGGUCAAUUCCUUGAAGGAGGAAGUGACAACCCUAAGAGGUCAGGUUACGGCCCAGGGCGACCACAUUAGGGCCCAGGACGAGAGGAUGAAUAUGAUUGUUCAGGCCUUAGCGAUGUCUGGCCUCCAAAUCCCGACGAUGCCAACACCUAAUGUUGCUCCACCUUCGACUUCCCAGCCACUUUACCCAGAUGAUACCGAGUAGCAUGAUGUAUUAAACUUAGAAGACUUGUAGUUUUUUAAUUUCUUGUUCGGACAAACGUACAUUUUCAUAUAUUCUAUAAUUAAUUACUUUUUCUUGGUUUAUUAAUUAUUGUUUAGAAUUUAAUUAUAAUAUUUAUUAAAAAUUAAAUAAAAAAAUAUAAAUGACAAAAAAAAAGGUUUGCGCUACGCAGUGCCUACCUACGUUGCGCAAAGCUACUUUGCGUGACGCAGGACCUACGUCGCGCAAAUUUACUUUGAGCGACGCAGUGCCUACGCGACAUAGGACCGUCGUCGCGCAAAGUCAAAAAUACGUCGCCCAAAAAUUAGCUAAACGAACCUUCAUCGCGCAAGAACCGUCGCGCGAAGGUAGUGAAGGAAGGGUUUGUGCGACACAGUGCCUACCUACGUCGCGCAAAGCUACUUUGCGUGACGCAGGACCUAUGUCGCAUAAAUUUACUUUGAGCAACGCAGUGCCUACCUACGUCGCGUAAAGCUACUUUGAGCGACGCAGGACCUACAUCGCGCAAAGUAGCUUUGCGCGACGUAGGUAGGCACUGCGUCGUACAAACCCUUCCUUCACUGCCUUCGCACGACGGUUCUUGGGCGAUGAAGGUUCGUUUAGCUAAUUUUUGGGCGACAUAUUUUUGACUUUGCGCGACGACGGUCCUAUGUCGCGCAAAGUCUUUUUUGUACUAGUGAUUGCUAUAAAGUCAUGCCCUUCGGCCUAAAAAAUGCAGGAGCGACUUAUCGGAGACUGGUCAAUUCAAUGUUUGCCGAACAGAUUGGGAAGAGGAUGGAAGUUUAUGUUGAUGAUAUGCUAGUCAAGAGCAAACAUGCUAACCAACACAUCACCAACCUAUCUGAAACUUUCACCAUUCUGAAGAGGUAUCGAAUGAGGUUAAACCCCAACAAAUGUGCCUUCGACGUAGGCUCUGGCAAAUUCUUAGGCUUCAUGAUAAGCCAACGAGGUAUUGAGGCUAAUCCCGAGAAGAUCAAAGCAAUCAUCGACAUGAAGGAACCGGUAACCUCAAAAGACAUCCAAAGCCUUACUGGCAAGGUGGCAGCCUUAACUAGGUUCAUCUCUAAGGCCACAGACAGAUGUGCUCCUUUCUUCAAAGCAUUUAAGGGAAGUAAAAAGUACAUUACAUGGACUGAUGAAUGUGCUGAGGUAUUCAAGAACCUCAAAGACUACAUGAGUAAAGCCCCUCUGCUCUCCAAACCUGAGGUUGGUGACACUCUCAUUAUCUAUCUGUCGGUAUCAGCUUCAGUAGUAAGUUCCGUUCUCAUUCGAAAAGAUGGUAAUGUCGAACGGCCUGUCUACUACGCUAGCAAGGCCUUACAAGAUGAGGAGACACGAUACUCCAACAUUGAGAAAUUAGCUCUAACAUUGGUCGUGUCUGCUCGAAAACUUCGCCCUUACUUCCAAGCACACUCCAUCAUCGUGCUUACCAAUCAUCAUCUUCGACAAAUACUCCAAAGUCCUGACACUUCUGGGCGAAUGAUCAAAUGGGCAAUAGCAUUGGGUGAGUUUGACAUCUCCUACUAACCAAAGCCAGCUGAGAAGGGCCAAGCAGUGGCAGACUUCAUCGCCGACUUCACAUAUCCUAUUAACAUUGUUUCUACGCCCAAAGAAGUGGUUUCAUUACCCUCGGAAGCUCAGAAAACAGAACCAACAGCCCCAGCAUGGAGACUAUAUGUUGAUGGCUCAUCCAACCAACAGGGUUGUGAAGCAGGACUAGUCCUUACGACCCCUGACAAAGUGGCAAUGAAGUAUGCUAUUCGUUUCAAAGUUAAGGAGUCGAACAAUGAGGCCGACUAUGAAGCCCUCCUAGCAGGCUUAUGUUUGGCCAAACACCUUGGGGUUAAACGAAUUGAUAUCUUCAGUGACUCUCAAUUGGUGGUUAACCAAGUCACCAACAACUUUGACGCUAAGGAUAGCUCAAUGGCAGCAUAUAUGGCACAAACACAAUUGUUGCUCAAGCACUUCCAGUACCAGAUCACCCAAAUUCCUCGAGCGGCAAAUAGUCAUACAAAUGCUUUGGCUCACCUCGCCUCAGCGGUGGAAGACAAGAUUGGGAGAAGAAUUCAGGUCGAAUUGUUGGCAGCACCAAGCACCAUGGUUGCGGAAGUGUGCAACUUACAACAGGGGGAUAGUUGGAUUACCCCGAUUUAUAGAUUCCUUACUCAUGGCACCCUUCCAAAUGACAAAGUCCAAGCUAAGCAAAUUCGAUACAAGGCUACCUGUUACUUGAUCAUUAAUGAUCAACUUUACAAGUGGGGUUUUAACCUACCAUACCUAAGAUGCCUUACGCCCGUAGAGGCGAAAACUGUCCUUCGGGAAAUACAUGAAGGAGUCUGCAGAGAUCAUGCUAGAUCUCGAUCCCUAGCACACAAGGCUUUUUGCCAAGGAUUACUGGCCGACACUCUACCAAGAUGCCAUCAAAAUAUCCCGCUCAUGUGAUAAGUGUCAACGCAACGUAAUUAUUCCUCACUCCCCUCCCGAGCAGCUCACUCCUAUGAUCAGCCCUUGGCCUUUCGCCCAAUGGGGACUUGAUUUGAUUGGCCCAAUGCCUGCAGGGAAGGGCAAAGUUCGCUAUGCAAUCGUUGCAGUUGACUACUUCACAAAGUGGGCCGAAGUAGAACCCUUAGCAACCAUUACUAAGGCAAAAAUAGAAGACUUCGUAUGAAAGAACAUCCUUUGCAGAUUCGGCAUUCCCGAUGCGAUAGUCAUUGACAACGGGCGACAGUUCAACAACAAUAAGUUCAGGAUGUUCUGCUCUAAGUUCAACAUCAACUUAUGUUUUGCCUCCCCAGCUCAUCCCCAGUCUAAUGGACAAGUUGAAGCUAUCAACAAAAUAAUCAAGCGAACUUUGAAAACCAACUUAGACAAGGCUAAAGGUUGUUGGCCAGAAUUUGUACCCCAAGUUUUUUGGUCAUACCGCACUUCGUAUUAGACAUCAACACGAGAAACCCCAUUCUCACUUGCCUUUGGUACAGAGGCAGUUGUCCCAGUUGAGCUUGAAUAAGCAACAUUUCGAGUCCAGAACUACGUGCAAGGCGAAAAUGACAAACAACUUACCCUCAACUUAGAUCUAGUUGAGGAACACAGAAACCAGGCUCACUUGAGGAAUGUCGCCUACAAGCAGCGCAUCUCCAACUACUAUGACUCAAGGGUCAAACCUCGUUCUUUCAAAGUGGAGGAUUGGGUAUUAAAGAAAAGAUUACUCUGCGACAGAGUCCCGAGUGAAGGAACACUUAGUCCAAACUGGGAUUGACAGUUUAAAGUUGUUGGCAUCAGUCACCCUGGCUCCUACAAGCUUAGAAGCUCCGAUGGCAAGACCAUUGGCCAUCCAUGGAACGCUGAUCACUUGAAGUACUAUUACAAGUAAACUCACAUUGUACAAGUGUUAAGCUUCAACAGUUCAUCAUCCUAUGUAACGAAGACUAUUUGGCAUGAAUUCAAUAAAGAGGUGAUUUAGAUAACUCGGUCCUAAUCCUCUUACAUUCCUAGCAAUGAAACACUCGGGCCCAAAGCUUCAACUCCAAAGCUUCACUUACAAAAGCUUCAACACAAAAGCUUUACCCACAAAAGCUUCAUCAUUUGAGGACAACUACGAAUUCUCAAAAGCUUUACACUAUCUUGAUCAAGAUAGUGUGAAGCAAAAUCAAUUCAUGGUACCCAACAAAAGCUUCAACUCCAAAGCUUCACCUACAAAAACUUCAACAUAAAAGCUUCACCCAUAAAAGCUUCAACACAAAAGCUUCACCCAUAAAAGCUUGACCCACAAAAGCUUGACCCACAAAAGCUUCACCUACAAAAGCUUCACCCACAAAAGUUUGACCCACAAAAGCUUGACCCACAAAAGCUUGACCCAUAAAAGCUUGACCCACAAAAGCUUGACCCACAAAAGCUUGACCUACAAAAGCUUCAACACAAAAGCUUCACCUACAAAAGCUUCACACUAUCUUGAUCAAUUCAUGGUGCCCAACAAAGCUUUAACCUCAAAGCUUCACCUACAAAGCUUCAACACCAAAGCUUCACCUACAAAGCUUAAAAAUAUAUAUAUAUUUUUUCAGAAAUUCAAAAAUUCAAAAAUUCAAAAAAAAAAAUUCAAAAAUUCGAAGAAAAAAAAUUCGCCUAGGUCUCCUCUUCUUUAGGCCUAACAACUUUCAUAACAAAUAUAUAUAUGAAUGAGGAGUUUUGGGCUACCAUUUAAAAAGGAAAUGCCACAUUCGUCAACUCCCUCGACCGGAGACUUGGGGGACACCUACCAUAUGCUACUGCACCUUGAUAUUCAGAAGUCUCACGACCACUCAGUGACUUGGAUUUUUCAAGUCUCCAACCGAGAAGUUUUCCUCACUCGGGAAAUUAAGGAAGUACUACCUCAACAUACAUGUUUCACUCUCAAAGCUUCAACAUACAAGCUUCAACAAAAGAAAAAAUUCAAAGAACUUAGUGAAGAAGGCCUUGGUGUAUUCAACACAAUACGUUGAAAUGAAGCAAAGCUUGUUUAUUGAUAUCUUCGAUAAGUUACAAAUAUGUAUAUAUACAUGAAUCAAAAUAAACAAACAAGAGAGAGCCUUCACAAAGGUUGCUCAUGAGAAGUCUCAGCAGUCGGCAGAGCCCCAGAAAGAGUAGGCAUCAGAAGGUGAUCAUUCGGAGCCUCAGUACUGGUAGAGAACCCUAGAAGGAGGAGGCACCAAAGGUUGAUCAUUCGGAGCUUCAUUACGUGGUACAGCCCCAGAAGACAAAGGCAAUAAAUGCCUUUGGAACAAACCCACAAACCUCUGAUUAUCAAGCAAAAUCUGACCAUCAGAUUCCUGCAGCUGGUCAAGCUUCAUCUUCAUGUUUGUAGUAUAGUCAUGUGCGAGCCUGUGCAACUGUUUAUUCUCAUGCUUGAGCCCUCUGAUCUCCUGUUUGAGACUUAUCACUUCAGCCGCCAAUUAUUCAACUUGGCGGGUUCAAGCAAAUAGGUGUUGGGCCAUAUUAGACACAGAACCUGCACACUGAACACUGAGAGCCAGAGAAUCCUUAACAGUCAACUCAUCAGACCGUUUGGAAAUUAGUCUGUUAUCUUUAAGAGUGAGAAGGUUCUUGGCCACCACCGCAGCGGUUAUAUCAUUCUUCAUCACAGAGUCCCCAACGGUAAGAGGACCAGUAAGGGAUAAGAAGAAUGGGCGCCAUAUGUUGUCUUGAGAAGGCAUGGCUGCCUCUUCACCAAAGUUCAAGUCAAAACGACGGUCGGAAGGGCCAUACAUUCUCAGAAAUGAUGAAGGAGAAAUGAGGUGCAAUAAAUCUCUGAAGUAAGGGGAAAAUUCAUACAAGCAAUAACUCUCUGAAUGUACUUCUUGCACACAAUUGGUGCCCUUAUAAAAGAAAGGGUAACAAGGCCGUUGGUUCAAAAAUCGAAAAGGCAUCACUCUUCGGAUUUCAAAGAGACACCACUCUCCACACGCAACAUCAGCUCCUCGGGUACCACAGAUAACUUUGCCAAAGAUCUCUGACAAAGUUUAGACAUAUAAAUUUUGAAGGUCCAGCUACCCUACUAUUACUCACAAGGGUAAAGGAACAACACCACUACUUGAUAACUGAAGAGUCCCUAUGUGUGUCAACCUCCGUGCUCCGUGGCAAGGUAGAUUGGCAAAAAUGCCCAACCUUUACUCAUAUUCGAGAAAACACUCCCAAUAAGAUUACUUUCUAAAAAA